This 88802-nucleotide long non-coding RNA is filed under the name Setaria italica (foxtail millet). RNAcentral's name for it is "long non-coding RNA (SITA_LNC003169)". The record is from RNAcentral. Lineage: Eukaryota; Viridiplantae; Streptophyta; Magnoliopsida; Poales; Poaceae.
ACGCGUUUCAGCACCAUAGGCACAGAGCAACAAACAGAGAGCUUCCUACAUCGUAGUGGAGAUAACCAUCUGGGAGGAGCAUCGCCAAUCCGUCAUGUGGCCGGAGAAGAUGAAGGCUUGGGCGGCCAUGGCCGACGACCCGCUCAAGACCGCGUCAUCGGCAUCGUCGCAUCCUUCGAACCCGCUGAAGCGCUACAGCCCGACGACGUUGGCAGCCGGCGGCCUCAUCGUCGUCGGCGGCCUCGGGUACCUCAUGUUCGGGGGGAAGAAGAACGGGCACGACCAGCAGGCUAGCCGGGCUUAGAGAUCGAAGGCAGUCGAGGUCGCCGAUUAGCUAGUUUACCGAGAUGUUCCAAUAAUAAGCUCUUACCCUUUUUGCCGGUUGUUCUGUACUUGUCUUGUCAUGAUAUGUAUAAUCGAGUGUGGUUUUUCGUUUAUGUGUGGCGUCUCUUGUCCAUGCACGACAUGCCAACAAUUCACUGAAUAAAGUGUCUUUCUUUUCUUGUCCUGUGGCCUAUUCGUUUGAUGAGUUGGGCUCGCACAAUUCAGUUUCAAACGGUAGAUUUAUUUAGAACAGGAUGCUCAUAAGAGAUGCGGAGAUUAUGCAGCAUUUGAACCACAUGAGACAUGGUUCGAUGUUUAAUUGUUGCUUCGUAGCAUCUGAAACCUGUUUUGUGAGGAUAGGAACCUGCCCUAAAUUACUGACAUUUCAAAGCACCCUCAUUCAGUUAACCUGCAAAUGCCCUGAAAGGCUGAAACACCAGAACAAACUAGCAGCCUACCUUCUGACAUUGUACAAACCUGCGUGCUACAUUCCUACAUUCCGAUGCUUCCUCUGCUUCCGUGUUGGAAGGUGAGCAACACCUUACAGGCUACGAUCCGUCCAAAAUCGAGUACGUCGCCAUGGCCAUCUGACCACAGUGGGACCCACAUCGUCGGCGUCAGGUGCAGGACGAGUUACAGGUAGUCACGGUCAGAUCACUUCAGCUGCUUCUGCUUCCCAUGCGCUUGCUGCUCUCGAUAUGCGCAGAGGCAAAGCCACGGAGUUUCUCUUCGAGGGCGUGGAGAAGUUGAUCGCCUGAUCCAGUCCCAAGACCUGUGUUCAUUGUGCUUUACGGGUAAGUCCUCCUUCAACAUACGUUCUUCAGGCAACUGGCAAAACAAACAUCAGAGAUGUCGAGCUGCGUUUCAGCGAUUUUUAUUCUUAGCCUUUCAGGAAAUCUCUCCAAUCGAAAUGGAUAGCACGCAGGGAAAUCAAUAUAUAUUGCAGCUUGUCUGAAGCUUUCAGCAUAAUCACAUAACGGCAAACGGCAAAAGUGAUGCUGGGAUUCUUCAGAAUUUCACCAACACAAGGUAUGGUUAGAAUGUUAAAUCGUUUGAUGGUAUCAUCUGAAACCUGUUCUGCAAGGAUACACACCUGCACCGAAUUACUGGCAUCAAAAGUACACUAAUUUAGUGUUACAGAAUCAAACUGCAAAUACCCUAAAACACCUGAAUAAGCAGCCUACGUUUCAGCCUGUAUAAUGCAUACUACAUUCUGAGCUUCUGAUGAUUCCUUGCCUACUGUUCUCUUUUAACCUCUGAUAUCUCAAACCGACGAAGCAGUGUUACAACUACAGUCUAGAUUUCUAGUCGAUCUUGACUGAAGAGUAGAUGAGCCUGGUGAACCAGAAGCAGGCGUAGAAGCCGAUGGUGCCGGUGAGCACGAAGAAGGCGUACGAGGCAAUGAGCAUGUAGCCGAAGUAGAGCACGCCCGAGACCGUCUUCGUGAUCUCCAGCUUGGUGAAGAAGUAGAACGUGGCGUACAGGAAGAGGUACAGCGCUGAUGAGCCAGCCGUCAGGUAGGACCUCCACCACCACUGGUAGUCCUCACCGCAGAGCUGGAAGUAGCAGAGCACAAUGGUGAUCUCCGCGCAGGUCAGAAUCAGGAUAACGAAGACCAGGAACAGGAAACCGAAGAUGUAGUAGAACUGGUGCAGCCAGAUCGAUGUCAGGAUGAAGAAGAGCUCGAUGAACACAGCGCCAAAGGGCAGGAUGCCUCCGAUCAAUACUGAGACAACUGGGUUCAUGUACCAUGGCUGCUCUGGUAUUGCUCGUGGUAUCUUGUUUGUCCUCACGGGGUCCUCCAUGGCAGGCUUCUUGAACCCAAGGUAGCUGCCGACGAAGACCAGCGGCACAGAGAUCCCGAACCAGAGGAGGACUAGUGCAAACAUGGUGGUGAAUGGCACAGCACCAGAGGACUUCUCACCCCAGAUGAGAGCAUUCAGGACGAAGAAUAUUGCAAACACAAUGCCGGGGAACAUCAAGGCCGUCUUGAUUGUGAUGUUCUUCCAUUCUGAGCCCUUGAACAUCUUGUAAAGGCGCGAGGAGGAGUACCCUGCAAAUAGGCCCAUGAAGACCCAGAGGAGGAGCAUUGCUGUCAUAAGCCCUCCCCGGUUCGAUGGCGAGAGUAGCCCAAGGAUGGCGAACAGCAAGGUGACAAGCAGCAUCCCAAAAAACUGUACGCCUGUCCCAACAUAUACGCACAGCAGGUCUGCGUUGACAGGAGGCCUGAACACAUCGCCAUGGACAAGCUUCCACCCUGUCUCCUCCUGAGCAUCCUCCUGGUCCUCUAACUGGUUGUACUUGGAGAUGUCGCGGUACAGUGUCCGGAGCAUGAUCAUGGCAACCAUCCCAGAGAGGAAGAGGACUAUCAUCAGAGAAUUCACAAUAGAAAACCAAUGGAUUUGAUCGUCUGCCAUCAGAAGGUAGGUGUCCCAGCGUGAUGCCCACUUGAUAGGACUUUCCUGCAUGACGCACAUAUGAACAAAAAAUGUCAGAAGAUUUGAAGUUUUCUCAAGGAAAUAUUAGACCGUCUAUCUGAAGGUAUACAGUGGGGAACUUUGUCGUUAUGCAUUAAAGCUGAUCAUAGACAAACAAUUCAAGAUGAUGAAUAGUUGAAACUACCUCAAAGUUAACAUCAUAAGUGAAAACAAUCUCUUUAUUGGCUUCUACUUCUUGAGGUGAAUUUGAGUCUACGACUAGACGUCUCGAGUGCGGAUCACAUGUUUUCAGGGGUGUAGCAGUCUCCUUCCAAUCGCCAUCAUAUUCAUGCUUAACACUGCAGAGUAUAUGAUAAAAUAAUCAUAUGAACCUAAAACGGUAGCGAGCAUCAUGCCAUAGGUUCAGAAAUGACAAGUGAGGAUGCCUGCCUGUAUGGUUUGACCUCAAAGGCCACAAUCCUAGCAAGAUCCGUGUUUGCAUCCUUGUGAUAUUUCACCAGAAAUGUGAAGUGGUUGUGGAUGAAAUGCUUCUCCUCCUUGCUCUGCAUCCAUGACAUUCAAAUCAGAACACAUUUAGCAUAAGCCAGAAGCAUCGGUUUUCGUAGCUAGAUACAGAUUAUCAACCCACCCCUGAGUACUGUCCCUUGACGCCGACAUGCACACCUUGUUGAUAGACAGUAGGCACAUCUUGAUCCAACCUCUUAAUAGGGACGACCAAAGGAAGGUUGUCAAGAAUCCUGAAACCACAAAACCAAGGUUCACUUCCCCGUUCCAGUCACCUACUCACCUGAAAUAUAUGGGCCUUUGAUCUACGUCUAUGCAACUGCAAGCAGUAAAUGGCCUCUCACAUGUUUAUGCGGUACUCAUCGUCGAUUUUCUCCUUCAGAUCCUUGGCUUCGUCUUGGUUCGGAGCAACCUUGCACACGAUCUGGCACAGCUUGGGCUCCAUCAUCUCGAACUGCAUUUCAAGGACCACGAUUGAAAAUUUCCCAAAGGGACCGAGCUAUAAUUGCAGCAAACAUACACGAGUGACCUUUUCCUGGGCCUACUCAGAACAGCAGGUGGGUACUACAAACAUAUACAGGAACUCAGGAAGCAAAUGGUGGAGCACCUAGUACUGGUCCCAUAGGCUUACCACGUAUAGCGAAUUCUCGAUGCGGUCGCCGCGGAGGACCUCGCCGAGGUUCUCGGCGCUGUCGACGAUGGUCCCCGGCCUGCAGAAGGGGAGGGAGUAGUAGGAGUAGGGCAGCUGCGUCUUGAUGGAGCUCAGUUGGUUCACCUUCACGGCGAGCGGGUCCUUCUGCAAUCCACACAUCACCACAGCCUCAGCGCGUGAGGAGCCGACUCACCGAGACCGUCAAACCGACAUGCCAGGCGAAGAAGAGAGAAACGCGAAACAGAGAGCAGGAACGGAAAGGGCGGGACCUUGCGGAAGUCGGCGGGGGCGACGCCGGGGAGGUAGAACCCGCGCGCGGCGCCGGCGCCGGCGAGCACGGCUACGGCAACGAGGAGGAGCGCCAUCACCGGGCGGGUCGUCGCCAUGGGUGGCCGGGGAUCGGGAAGGGAGGUAGGGAGGGCGAGGAGGAGGUGGGAAGGGGGGGAAUUCGUCGCCGCCGGCCGGGGUGUGGCCUUUGCUCGGAUUUGACGGGUGUCCCCGGGGCGGCUGGCGGGGUUAGGUGUGAGGCUGGCAGGUGGGCCCGGAACCCCGCGCGGUUCGGCGGGGCGUCUCGCCUCCCGUACUUGACACCUCGUGUGGCCCACCGAAUCGCGGAUUCCAGAGGUGGGCCGCGGGACCCACCGGUGGUGCGCGAAUCACGACGCGGGUUAACUACGGUGGUUUAGGAUACACGGUCCAGCCGUACAUGCUGGUUACGUUACAUACAUUACGCAUUAUGAAACGGUGCAAGUUGCGUGUUAGCGAUACUUUAGAGCGUAGUGUCAGCGAUACUUAGCGUACUACUCCCUCCCUCCCUUCCGGAAGUCGUUUUGACUUUUCUAUGUACACUAUGAUCAUGCUUGUGCGUUGAGCAACACAAAUUCCCUCCACAAGCAUCAAACGGAUUCAUAUGAAACAUCUGUACAACAAGUAUCAAUGGAAACAUAUACUUUUGCCUUUACAUAUCAUUGUCAACUUCUAAUUUAAAAAAUUAUAUUUGCCACCGUAGUAUACUAUGUAUGUGCGUUGCUACGAGAGCUUAGACAACAAAGAAACAUGUCUUAAAUAGUUUACAGCAUUUAGGUAUUAUUCAUCAUGAAUGGCUGCUUGUAACGGAGUGCAUAUGAGCUUAAAGCAACUUCGUGCGUAUGGUCCAUGGACUUAAAUGAGAUGACAGAUGCUUGAGCUGUUCUGAAUAUAUUACAAUGAACCUCAACACGAUGGGAAAUCAAAACAUUGGACCCUUUUCAUGACCAUACACAUGAGUUGUUGCUUCUGGUUGCAUUACUGUUACAACGUUGGACAAGAGUCAAAUUUCAAUUUGAAACAAGUACUUGGAAUAGCAGGAAGAUGUGCUCUACGUGAUAGCCAACAACCAAAAGAAUAGGUGCUGCAACAUGGAAAGGUUUUCUAAGAGAUGAUCCAACUAUACAUAAGCUCACCAUACUACUUUGACUACUAAUUAAACACAAUUUGGAUGCAAGCAAGCAACCCAUUUAAAUUGCACAAUAUCAACAAGUUAAAGAGACCAAGCUGUCUUCUGUUUCAAAAAAAAAAAUCAGAACAAUUCCAUGGUAGCAACGAUUCAGCUAACUAAAUCUAAUUUCUUUCAGGCUCUGCCUUGGAAUGCGAUCGCUUUUCUAAAGUUUAAAACACAAAAAUUCUACACAAGUAAGUUAACCUUUGUUUCUUUAGGAUGACACAUAUAACACGGGACUAAUCUUCAUUUGUUUAAUGUCACAGAAUAUACUACCAUAACUUGUAUGCAUGCUCUGAGUGCUAGAAAACGAUCAGACAAACCAACAUACAUGUUGAUGGCUGAAUAUGUACAAUGAACAAUCGCAUCAGAAGGUGAUCAACUCCCUGUUAGACAUGACCUGCUGCUUUCAGUCAAAUUUGAUGCUGGGGUGCAGAUUGACCACUAUGAUCCAUAUGCUUCCUAUGAACAAACAUUUUAGCUAUAUGUCUCAAAUCAAAGCGGAAGCAAGAAACUGAUCUCACCUUAGUGGUCCAGCAAUAGCACCACAUGUAUUUCAUCGGGCACCCUUUAAGCAGCCUCCAUAUCCCAGCCCUAGCAUACAUUCCAACUAGGAUUAUCACAAGCAGGUCAGGCACAAACACUUUGUCCACACUGCAACACUCGUGCAUAUGCCUGACCAAGAUGGUUCAGACUUCAGGGAAGCCAAGCACCACCACAGUCGCCGGUCGGCUUGCUACUCCUCCAGAUGACCCACCACUAUGGAUGGUAGCGGGCACAUUACCCGCGGGCAGAGGGUUUAUAGACCCGUGCCCGCGCCCACCGCCCAUCACGGGUAAGAAGUUGUGCUCGCGCCUGUCACCCACGGGCACAGUCUACCCACGGGCACACCCGUGCCCGCCAGGCAACCAGCACCUCUCACUCCAGCGGCGGAGCAGCAUCAAGCGGAACCGGGCAUCGGGCGGCGGAGCGGGCAGUGGGGAGCGAGGGCGGGCGGCGGAGAGGUGGCGACGGGGAGCGAGGGCGGGCGGGCGGCGGCCGCCUGGUCCCUGGUGUGCGGGGUGCGGGGCUGCGGGCGUGCAGGUGCGGCUGGGAGCCUGGGAGGAUUGGAGGAACGAAAGAGGAGGAACCCUAGAAAUCGCUUAUAUAGUUGUAGCGGGUUCGCAGGUUUGCGGGCACGGGUAAGGUAUUUUUAUGCCCGCUAAUUUUUUACCCCGCACAAACUCAAACCCGCACCCGUACCUGUGGCAGAAAAUAGAACCCAUAUCCUCGCUCUACAGGGUUUUUGCCCGCGGGCACGCGGGUAAUUUGUGCCCGUUGCCAUCCAUACCCAGCCUUCUACACUAAUAGUGAUAUUAUCCUCAAAAGCUCUUGUAAUCUGUAAGAUAAUCAACAACCAAUGUUUCAAUGGAAAUGUCUUUAGUAAAGAAUAUGCUCUUAACGGAAAAACAAUGUGAAAUUAUGAACUGAGUUGGUUUUUCUUGUCUAAGGGAUGGAUAAAGGGAUGACAUGCUAUUGAAAUAACACUGAGAGGCUAUCUAAGUUGACCACCUAGGCAACACAAUUAAUCGACCAUGAGUAACAUUCAGAUAAGCGGUUCAGAAACAGAACAUUCAGAAUUUUAGAUAUACAUCCAUCCAUAAUUUCUAGAUGGAAACCUGUGCGUUGCCACGGUUGUAACAAAUUCUCUUUAUAAGCAUCAAUUUUUAUUAUAACGAAACAAGGUAAUAGACUCGUAUCUUUUGACUUAAAUAUAUUCACGAUCAAUAUACAUAUUUCAAAAUAGGCAAACGAAUUAUUGAACAAUUAUAUUCAUGGCUGAGUGCUGAUUGUCAAACCAGAAGGUUCGGAGGCAACAUCAUGCCGAUGAUGGUUGAUAGAUGUCCUCAUAUAGUUGAACCAAGAAACACCAUUUCAUUAACCGUUGUCACAAUAUGAUGGCACUAAACUAACAAUACCAGAGAUGAAAUCACACUCGUGGCAGAGCUGUAUUCCCUCUAAUAGCUAAAGAUGUUAAAUACUCAAAUUAGCUAAAUAAGCUUGGAAAAGAUCGGUACACUAUUCUAAGCCUAUUCUGAGAACGCAACUGCUGGUAAUCAAUUUUGUAUAAGCUUGGAAAAAUCUGAUACAUGUAUCUCGUGAAUGCACAGAAAAGUUUACCUCGCAUUAUUUUAGUAUAGAAAGUGCAUAAGCCUUGAGUGCCCCAACAUGCCAAAUUCCAAGCUGCCUUGCAAAUACAAGCGAAAGAACACUGUCAUUUGCUAAUAAAUAAGAAUGGAGAAGCAUCAGUUACUGAAGACUCUUCACUGAAUAGCAACAGUAUGAACUGAAGACAUGAAAUCCGAGUGUCAUUCUGCAGAGGUAAGGUGAAACAUAAUGCAAAAGUAAGAGCAAUGUGUUUUGACAAUUCCUGUUCUAAUUGUAGUACUGCUAGCAGAAUUUAUGUAUGGCUCUAACAAAAUUAACAAAUUUAUGGAAAGUUCUUUUGAGCUUUCCUGGUUUGAAAAAGAAGCACAUCAGCCAGAAAAUAAUGGUAACAAAUGGCAGCAGCCCUCUGUCUCCUCCUUAUCGGCCAUGUCUAUGAUGUGGUGGCAGCACCACAUGCAAAUCUGCACGUAGACGGAGAAUUGAUUAAAUGACAGUUCAAUGGAUAGGAGGAUUAUUGAUAUACAUACAUUAUAUAUAUCCGCAUCUGCAUGGAUUGAGGUGCUGAUCAGAGAUGUCCAUCUCCUUGGCACAGAUAGUCUUCAACACUGCUCAUGAUAGUCCUGAUGAAUGAUCAACCAACAACAAAAUUAGCAACAUUAGUAUAAUACACAGUGAAUUUCAUGGUACAAUCUCUCAGCUGACAGCUAAUAUUUGAAUAGACCGAAUUUGCAAUAUACCCGGCAAAUUGUUUGAUCAUUCAAUGAUCACCCAGAAUUAUACACAAAAACAGACUCCACAUAGACAUGAAUCAACGGGUCGCCGGACGACAGGCCGCUGGGCAAGCUCACAUCUGCUGAAUGCAAUAAUUUUCCACACAGAAAUUAUUUUGAGAGGUAACCAUAUGCUACACGUUUGGUGCUUAUAUAUAAAAAAGAUGUCUUCUGGAUACCAUCAUAGUAAUACCAUGCUGUGCAAUUUGAUAAUCUGAAUAAAAAAUGUUAGAGCAAUCAGCACAACAUUUCAACAGAUGGUUGGUAUGCACAAUGAGCAGAUCACCAACCUUGUUUAAUUGGUGUGCACGAUGGAUCCCAUUCGAGUUAAUGCCGCUUUCUGCCAAUGUGUAAAAUGAUCUAUUGAAUUAUUUUACCAGACAAAACUUUGGAUGCGCCAAGUAAUAAUCAGAGCUUACCUUUUUGUCAUCUUUCACAUUAUCCUUUAGUAUCCUCUCCCUGUAUUCUGUGCAUUUAAACAGAAAAAAACAAUUUUACUCUUCCUUCGUGGCAUGAUAAAAAUGAAAUCAAAUAAGUAGACAGAUGAAACAUUCUCACAUCCAUGUUGUAUCAACUAAUCGGUAUUGGCGUGAAGUCAAGUAAAUUAGGGAUAAAUUGCUCCGCCUUCCAGACGAAGAUCGAGUCGGUUUCCACCGCAUGCUGCUGCAUACGGCUCGUCGAUCAAGGCAGAGGCGAAUCUGAUUCGAGUUGGGAGAUCAGGCAGACCGAGGGACCCAUGCCAUAAUUCCCAAGAUGACAAAGAUCUAUUAUUACAGUCACGCGUGGAUUGAGGCAAAUAAUCAGCUCCAACUACUCUAUGUGAAAAACAAUUUUGAGGGAUUUGUGCUACACGCACAUGAAAGGCUACCAUAAGAACUCAAAAUCAUAGCCUAACAUACAUAGAAGAUAUACGCGAGCACUGCUACCCGACGUCUGGGUGCAUCAAGUCGCCAACGACUACUUCGACUACUCGUCUCGACUAGAAAACUAGUCCAGGACGGUCUAUUUUGACUACUCGUCUCGGGCGAGUUCCACGUGAUCACCAACUAGUCGGAAUCAACUCCGACUAGUUGGCUUCAUCAACAAUCUACACGGCUUCGUCGACAAUCGUCCACUAAUCAAGCUAAGUCACUUUUUAAUUAUUUUAUAUAAAUUUUCUGGCUUGUUUUCCGCAUGCAGGGCAAUGUGCCAAGUACUUAUUUGUGUGUGUCUUUCGAUGGUAAUUACCAUCCAGAGCUACACUUCGCCGACUAUUCUUGUAACGCCCAUAAAAUUCACCAACCAAAUCACUCGCUAAAAAUCGCUUUCAAAAUCUUUCACCGCUUGAGCUCUCUAAAAUCCAGUCUUCCCGGCAAGUUCGCCAUCCCGGCACCGAAGCCGACCGCCGUCCAGCCGUGUUCCCCUUUUAUCUCUCCGCGAGUCACGCCGCAUGCUGGACGGAAGACCACCGCGCGUGCCCGUGACCGUUCCCGCAAUCCCCGCCGUCUCUCCCUUUUUCUUCUCUUUUUCCUUCCCCUUUUCCCUUCCUUUUUCUCCCUUUUUCAUCUCUUCCAUAUUUCCUUUCUUUUCUUCUUCUCCCUUCCUUUUUCCUUUUCUUUUUCCCUUCCUCCCUUUUUCUCUCAAGUGACGCACCUAGCUUCUUUUUCCCCUGCCGCAUGCAUGCAUGCAUGCACCAAUAUUUUUUUUAUUUUUUUCUUCCUGGCCGUGCCCGCUCCCCCCUCCCCCCGUCGCAUGUCCUGGCCCCACCUGUGCCUACAUCCUUUCCCUGGCACACACGCCUGCUCCCACGGCUUGGCCCCCCAGCGCUAGCUCCCCUACUGCACGCCACCCGCGCCUAGCCCUAGGCCCACGCCUGCCCCCGGCCCCACCUGCACAGCGCACCCACCCCAGCGCACCGCUGCCCAGCGCCCGGCUCCUCCCUCACGUGUGCCCCUGCGCUAGCCCCGCACGCCGCACACCGUUCGCCGCCGCGCUUGCUCACCGCGCACCGGCACACGUCCUUACCGCCUACCCCUCCCAACGCGCGACGUCGCGCUAGCGCUGCACCCUGCCGCACGCGCCCACGCACAGCACCACCGCGCACCGGCCUCCCCGGUGCGAGCGCGCUCGCCGCGGCCACCGCACCCGGCGUGCCUCAACGACGCCGUGCCACACCAACAGCUCACCACCAGCGCCCGACCACGCCGUCCAUGCCCAUCGCCGCUCGAGCAUGCCACCGUGUCCCUGUUCACCUCGCCGCGCGAGCCCAGCCCCGCCACGCCGUGCACGCAGAGCUCCACCUCGCCAUGCCACCGUCCUGUGCGCUUCCUAUUCCUGAGCAUCCCGACGGCUAUUAACUCUGCCGUUCCUAUGCGCCGCCCGUCGGCAGCCCCUCCCCUCGCCUCCGACCUAUAAAAGGCCCUCGACUCCACCAUCGAGCUUCCGGCCAACUCCCUUUGCUCCCGUGCUUCCAGUGCCGUUCCUGCAGUCUCUCGCCCGUCGUCGCGGAACCGCCUCUACGAGCCGCCUCAACCCGAGGUAAGGAGAGGAAUCGAAUCCCAUCGGCCUCCUCUCCGUUUUCCCCCACUUUUCGGUCGUAGCCGUGCCCCGACGCCUCCUCUCCCCAACCGUGCUGCCCCUCCUAUUUUUCCCGUGCGAUGUUCUGUCUCGAGGAAGAAGAAAUGUCAUUUUGUAUUUUCACCCAUCCACUUUUUCCUUUUUGCAUACAGACCCUCCCACCUCUCUCAAACUUUCUUUGCCGAUCAGCCCCUCUACCUCCCAAAGAUAAUUACAAACAAGUCUCUGGUUCUCGCAGAUUGGUUCUAAGCCCAGUUUUAACCCCUAAAUACAUUGUUAUGUCGUUAUUUCAUGCGCCAAACUUCCUCCAAUUAAUCCCAAAUUUGACCACGGCAUCCUCCAAUAUAUUCCCGCCGAGUCAUCUCCAAAUUCCAUGAAAAUACUCAUUACUCCUAAUUUCCGUUCAUGUUCUCUGUCCAAGCUCAUUGGGUAAAGCUUUAUUUUUUUCUUUUAUUUAUUGUGUGCCCAAUUGUGUGUGUUGUAGAUCGCGGAGUUCCCAAGGAAGAGCCCGAAGAGGAGCUUGACGACCAGUACCGCAAGCUGAAGCCCGAAGACCAGCACCGCGAGCAGGAACUCCCGGAAGGCUUUGAGGAUGGCAAGCUCAAUCUCAUCCUUUGAUGCAUAUUUAUCCUAGUUUUUUCAAACACAACCUAUUGGCCUAUUUUUUAAAAUUGCAUAUUGUUUUACUGCUGAAACACAGUUGGAUAGCCACCCCUUGAUUGUUAUGAUUAUUCCUUGAUUGUCCUAUAAUUAUCUCUAAAUAUGAUUUGCUCUGUUUGGAUGAUAAUUACUGCUAGAAUGCUUAGGACCUUGUUACUCAAUUCAAUCAUGACUACAAUGUGUUUUGUUAAAGAAUAAAUGUGUGAGUGUUUUUAAAAGGGAAAAUGGAUUUUCGGAAAUAAAGGAAAGAAAUGUUUAGAUGAGAUGGAUGGGUGUUUCUUGUGUGAAAUGCCAAUAAGUUGGGCUCGUACCUUUGUGGUUGAGCAAGGUUGGGAGAUAUCCAUUUUGUCACGAAUUAAGGAUCGAGUUGAUGUGUCAUCUUGCCUAACCCAACCUUUGUGCAACCACUUGACCGUUGUCUGCGGCAACAGUUAGCAUAAAUCCCACUAGCUAGUAUAUUAGUCAUCAGGAGAGCUGAUGAGCAACGGGAGACCAUGGAGAAGGACUAAGAUCUUUGUGAUUUAGGUCUUGAUUAAGACCUCGUUGGUAGGUCAUUAACCCCUUGGUUGCUCCCGUGUUGGCUAGUCAGUCUUAGCUAAGAUGGGUAAUAGCUUUGAUAGGAUCAGCACCGGCACUAAGGUGAUCACAUUGCGAUACCCUACUUGUGGGAAAAGUGUACAGCCUCUGCAGAGUUAAAACCUAUCCGGGUAGCCAUGUUAAUGGCAUUGGACGAGUUACGGCUUGUUCAUAUAACUAGUGCUUGGAGAUAGAUGAUUUUCAUGGCGUCUGUUGGAUUUUGGAAGUGUCCGGCAGUUGUGCCGUGAGCUACUAUGGACGGGGAGCCCAGUAGCAUUAAAACUUGGAUCCUUUGUGUAGGGUCAACCCUAUUCAUUGAUUCGGUUAGUAAACAAAUGCUUUGCGAAAGCUCUUUUCAAAAUGGAUAAGGGCAUAUGUUGAAAAUCUAGCUUUAUUGCAAAUAAACCUUAGCCUUAUUCUUGAUGUAUCCUGUGCAUAUUCUUGAUUGUAUCCCCCUCUGUGGAUGGGGUUGGACUUGUUGAGUACUUUUGUACUCACCCUUGUUUUGUUGCUUCAGAGGAAGACCCGGACUUCGUUGCCGAGGAUUUCGAGUAGGAGAUCGCUUCCGCACCCACACUGCUUGUGGUGUUGGCCUUUGUAGAAUGCUUCCGCUGCUGUGUAGUCCCGAGUGCUGUCUCUUGACAAUAGCUUGGUUCGCUGCUGUUGUUUAUUUACUUAUCAUUUUGGCAUGGCUUUCGCGCCCACUCCCUCGGGAGUUGUACGGUUUCUGAACUAUCUGUUGAAUAAAUAUGUUAUCAGCCUCCUGGGACUGAUAUUUGUAUCAUAUUUAGUCUCUACUUAUGUGGGGAUGCUUCAAUUCUUGGGGCAUGUUGACCGACAACCAUGGCUUGGUACACCGAAUUAUAGAGGUUAUCGCCACGCGUUUGGUGCAGUGAGUUCCGGAAGCUCCACCACAGGCUUGGUACACCGAAUUAGGAGGCUCUGCCACGGAAGUUUGGUGCACUGAGUGCUGGAGGCUCGCAGCUGCUACACCCUAAGGAGGCACAAAUCCUAUGCGCGGCAACACACGCUCUUCUCGCCAAAAGGUAGAAAAGUCUCAACGACUACUUUAAGUGCAAUCGCGUCGUCUUUUUGUUGCAAUGCCGACUAUUUAUUUUAAAUGUCUUCUCUUAGCGGUUGCCAAUAUCCUCGAGCAGAACACGCCUCAAUUUGUGAAAGCCUUGGAUCUUCUGUCCUGCCUAAACGCUAGGACAUGAGACAAAGAUCUCCGUAGCAGCAGUGCUAUUACGCGUACACGAGACAAAGAUCUCACACGCAGUGGCAAUGGCUAAACAGGGACUGGGAGCCUAAACGUAAUAGGCUAACUGCUCGGGAAAAAUAUGACCGAAACAAGAGCAUGACACACAAUAUUUACAUUACAUUCAUCACUGAAUCAAUUUCAAUAGUUUUAAUAUUCUACAAACAUGCUACAUAAUGUAUGCAUCUCUUUUUGCAGGUCAAGCUUCGGCAACGACUCUCCAGGACACUCCGCGUACCUAUAAUGGCUCACUGGCUCUCAGACUUGAGGUUAAGCGCCAAUUACUACUCGGAAUAUCUCAAGUGGCUCAACUAGCUUCCAAGCUCGGGGGUUAAGUGCUAAUAACUACUCGAUGUGGCUUCUACGGUUCACCUAGCUCAUAAGCUCAGGGGCUGGACGCCGCAAUACAACUCGGAUGAUGACUUGCGUGAAGACUGAAGACCAUCGGAUUAGUUAUUUAAUCAUUCCAAGGCUCGGUGGCUGAUGAGCUACACCCAACAGUUGAUUUUUUCAAGAUGAAGAAAGAAGAUUUAAGAUUUUAUUGACCCUCUAUCGGUGUUUAGAUCCGGCAACCUACCGAGGGGGUGCCUGAGGUAGUGUUUUAGUUAAUGGGGCUUGCCGAGAUCAGGAACUCGAAGGGGAACACAUACACACGAUUUAGACAGGUUCGGGCCACUAGAUUGUGUAAUACCCUACGUCCUGUGUGUUGGUUGGAUUGAAUUGUUUUGGAGGGGGUCCCUGCGUUACCUUAUAUUGUCGAGGGUAGGGUUACAAGUCGGUUGAUUUACAAGAAUACUAGUCGGAUUCGACUAGACGAGUCCUACUCUGAAUGCUACGAGUACUUUUUCUAAUCCUCGACUAGUUUCUGUCUUCCACGAAGACUACGCCGUCUUGCGCUAUAGCCUCUAUGUCAGAUACGUCUCGAUAUCCAGCCCUAUAUUUAGGUCUUUCCAAACCUUCUGGUGGGCCUAUAGAUGUAUGUACGACACCCUCAGCUUGAUUCUUUGAUUCAUCCUAAGGCUCAGGGGCUACUCCAUAUGGAGUGCGACUUCCGCCGCCCUCCAUAUCACAUUCAAAAAAUGAAGAUUACAAAAUCAACGAUCAAGGGCUUGAGCACACUAUAGCCUCAUGGCAGCUUUGAAGAACUUUGAAGAUUCAGCCAGACAAAGAACUCGAGAAGCACUAAACUACUCGGCGAGGAUCUGAAAAGUACCCGAAGACUGCUGCAUUCGAUUAUGAAGCGUUCGGGGGCUUGUCGGGGAUAUAUCCCUGGUACCUGCAUGGAAGGAAGAAGACGGACUCCUACUAGGAUUCCUCUGUAAUCCUAUUAGGAUUUAUAUCAUGUAAUCCUGCUAGGACUCUUCCUUGUAACCAACUAGUAAUCCCGCUCCUAAAGUAUAUAAAGGAGGGUAGGGGUCUCUAAAUCGGUAGGCGAAGACCUCAUAGAAUCACAACAGAGGACCAAAAUCCUCAACACCAAAUAACACCCAAGUGUAGGGCGCAAUAUACAACACCCCAAACAGGAUGCAGGGUAUUACGCUCUCUAGCUGCCCGAACCUGUAUAAAUCUUUGUCUUGUGUCCUCGCUUUUACCUUCGAGUUACAGAUCCGACGAUCCUCUACCAACUAAUCUACUACCUCGAGAUACCCUAUCGGUAGGUUGUCGGGUAUAAAACACCGAUACUACUGUAGGUACUGUUCUUAUAUGCUCACAAGAUCGAUUAGAUUUUGUGUUGACGACGUGUCAAGCCUGAACAAAGACGCUUGGAAGUAUGAUUAUCGUUGGAGCUGUGAGUGGCCUCAGUGGGGAGAUGCAAACGUGCCGCCGUCUCAGCGUCUCUCCAGGAACAGCCGAACAGGUGUGCGCGCACGCCACUAGGGAACGGCGGCGCAGCUGUCCAUGGCGCACUAGGCGCUGCAUUUUCGCCGAGAUGCUGGUACAAGCCAUCGUCAUGCGCCGGACUAUCGGUUCUCCGUGCUGUUUGAGUGUUUUGUUUGACCGGCCGAAAGCCGGCAGCUUGUUGGCGGGGGUUGCGUGCCAGCCCCGCGCGCUGCCUCGUGGUUCGGCGAAAUCUGUGGCAGUUUGGCAGGGUCGCCAUUCGCCAAGUCAUCUUUGAAUCGAUAUUGGGAUGGUCCUUGGCAUGAUGUGGAUUUGGACAACGAAAUGCAUCCGAUCCGAGACCUUUUGUUUGACCGAUUUUCACGCAGCCUGCUGAGUGGGCUGACCCGAAAUUUGAGCAUACUGACAUUGCUCCCAUGGGCCACUUAACGCUUCGACAGGCUGCAAGAGGGUGUGCGCCGAGCUUUUCUGUUUGCAGCAGCAGCCUGAGGGGCUUUCCCACCAGCUCAAACAAAUGAAAAGCACGCUGCAAACGGAUAUGAAGUAGCCUAGAUAUAAAUUUAAAUGCAAGAUCAUAUAUACAGCUAACAACAUAACUCGAUGUUAUGAAAUUCGGGCAAUGCCCUUAGUGUAAAAAAACAUAACUCGAUGUUACCAGAUUUAUGAUGAACUUUUAAUUCAAACAUCAUUCUGCCCUACAACUUUUGUCAAAGUAACACACUGUAGAUUGCAUCAAUUAUAGCAUGAAAAAGGCGACUACAGUGAGAUGCUCAUCAUGGAUAGUGAGAUUAUUCAGCAUUUCUGCAACAGAAACAUGUAGUUAAUCAGUUGAUUGAACACAAAGUUGUGGGGUAAGGAUGCACGCAUGCACCAAGUUACUGAAAUCAAGCUUUCAGUCUAACUGAAUUAAUUCGUAAACCUCCUAAAGACUCCUGAAUAUAAACAUGCUACGUUCACAUCAUAUUUCAUUUCCCACCUUCAACCUCUAACUUCUCAAGCCGACAGUAAAGUGAUGCAAUUAUAGAUUCCUAGUCAAUCUUCACUGAAGAGUAUAUGAGCCUGGUGAACCACAAGCAGGCGUAGAAGCCAAUGGUGCCAGUGAGCACGAAGAAGGCGUACGACACGAUGAACAUGUAGCCAAAAAAGAGCAUGCCGGAGACCGCCUUUGUGAUCUGCAGCCUGGUGAAGAAAUAGAAUGCGGCGUACAAGAAUAGGUACACUGCAGAGGAUCCAGAAGUCAAGUAGGACCUCCACCACCACCGGUAGUCCUCGUUGCACAGCUGAAAAUAGCAGAGCACAAUGGUGAUCUCUGCGCAGGUCACUAUAAGGAUUACGAAGACGAGGAACACGAUCCCAAACAUGUAGUAGAACUGGUGCGUCCAGAUUGUUGUCAGGAUGUAGAAGAGCUCAAUGAACACCGCGCCAAAGGGCAGGAUGCCUCCGAUCGAUAUCGAGACGGCUGGAUUCGUGUACCAUGGCUGCUCCGGUAUCGGCCGCGGUAUCUUGUUUGUCCUCACCGGGUCGUCAAUGGCAGGCUUCUUAAACCCGAGGAAGCUGCCGAUGAAGAUUAGUGGCAAAGAGAUUCCAAGCCACAGGAAAACCAGUGCGAACAUGGUGGUGACUGGCACAGCCCCGGAGGAUUUCUCGACCCAGAGGAGCAUGUUCAGGGUAAAGAAUAUUAGGAACACAGCACCAGGGAACAUCAAGGCCGUCUUGAUGGCGACCUUCUUCCAUUCUGAGCCCCUGAACAUCAUGUAAAGGCGUCCAGUAGAGUACCCUGCAAACAGGCCCAUGAGGACCCAGAGCAGGAGCAUGGCUGUCAUGAACCCUCCACGGUUUGAAGGCGACAGGAGCCCCAGGAUGGCGAGCAGCAAGGUGACAAGCAGCAUUCCAAAGAACUGUACACCUGUACCCACGUACACGCACAGCGUGUCAGCAUUCACAGGAGGCCUGAACACAUCGCCGUGGAGAAGCUUCCACCCAGACUCCUCCUGUGCUUCCUCCUGGUUCUCUAGCUGGUUGUACAUGGAAAUGUCACGGUACAGAGUCCGGAGCAUGAUCAUGGCAACCAUCACAGAGAGGAAGAGGACUGUCAUAAGAGUAUUCACAAUGUAAAACCAAUGAUCGUCAGGCGUGCUAAGGUAAGUGUCCCAGCGUGAUGCCCACUUGAUAUCACUUUCCUGCAUUGAGAAAGCAUGUGAACAAAAAUGAAAAGGUCAGGAAAUCUAAACUUUGCAAUGAAAAAUCCGACCAUAGGACUCCUAGGUCUCAAUAACGGGGAUGGUUGUAUACAAUCAACUUGGCAAGUAGAAGAAUUGGAACUACCUCAAAGUUAACAUCAUAGGUGAAAAUGAUCUCUUUGUUUGCCUCUAUUUCUUGAGGCCUAUCAGAGCUCAUUACUAGAAUCCUUGUGUGUGGAUUACAGGUUUUAAGGUGUGUCAUAUUCCCCUUCCAAUCACCAUCGGGUUUAUGCUUAACACUGCAGCAUAUAUAUAAUAAAUGUACAAAGCAAGCAUCAAAUAAAUGUAAAAUUACAUCAUGCAUCAUCACUCGGGAACUUCACAAAGAAACUCAACACUCUGUCUGCGGGAUGAAUAUCGAACCUGUACGGUUUAACUUCGAAGCCCACAAUCCUAGCGAGACCUGUGUGUUCAUCCUUGUUAUACUUCACCAGAAAUGAUAAGUGGUUGUGAAUGAAAUAACUCCAAUCCUUUCUCUGCAUCAAACACAUUCAAAUCAUAAGACAAUUGCCAUUGGAUGAACAAAUCAGUAUUCCUGUCUAGCGAGAAGAUCAUCAACCCACCCCUACAAACCACCCCUUGACACCAACAUGCAUGCCUUGUAGAUAUAAUGUUGGUGCCUCUUUAUCCAAUCUCUUAACUGGGAUGACCAUAGGGAGGUUAUCAAGAAUCCUGCGAGCAACAAAAGCAAAGGCUCAUUCUCUAAUCAAAUUUUCUGAAUAUCUAUGCAGUCUGCAGCCAGCAUCUCACAUGUUUACACUGUAGGAGUCGUCGAUUUUCUCCUUGAAAUCCUUUGCUCCUUCUUGGCUCAGAACAAUCUUGCACGCAAUCUGACACAGCUUAGGCUCCAUCAUCUCGAACUGCAUCGGAAGCACAACCGAAACAUCAGGGAGCUAAUUACAGGCAAAAGCAGCUCACAGUAGGUGGAUCCGUGUAUGGUGUGGAACACUAAAAUUCCAGUACUACUGUAUCCUGCAGAAUUACCACGUAGGGCGAGUUCUCGAUUCGGUCGCCACGGAGCACCUCGCCGAGAUUCUCGGCGCUGCUGACGAUGGUGUCCGGCCUGCAGAAGGGGAGGGAGUAGUACGAGUAGGGCACCUGCGUCUUGAUGGAGCUCAGCUGGCUCACCUUCACGGCGAGCAGGUCAUUCUGCAACCAGCCAUCAGGAACCACACACAGACCCAGCGCGUGAGGAGUAAUGACUCGUCAUUAUCAGGAUAGUUUCCUGAGCAAGAGCAAUCAAGCCGAUCAUGAAAUGAGUGAGAGAGGGAGAAAGACAAGACCUUGCGGAAGUCGGCGGGGGCGACGCCGGGGAGGUAGAACCCGCGGGCCGCGCCGGCGCAUGCGAGGACGAGGAAGAGGAGCGCCGGGUGGGCCAUCUCCGUUUGUGGGAGGUGAGGUCAGGAGUGUGCCAGGGGCAGAAGAGAUUAUGGGGAAGGGGAAGAAGCGGGCGAAGAGUGGAGUCGUCGGCGACGACCGGCCCGGAGGAUUACGAAGCGUCAGGUUCGGCGGCGGUGGGCCAGCACGGGAGAGAGAGAGUUUUGACUUGUGUCGCUUGCUUGGCAUCGGCAGACGCAGCUCGUGAUGACGCAAACGCAAGACUCGAACCUUUUGACUUUGACUUUGACUUCGGAGUGUCACUAAAAGGUCACUUGCUCGGUUAUCCUCUGAAUCAGAUGCUACUGCAAGUCUGCAAGGUUACUAGGGGGCUGUUUGGAUACGAGGUGCUAAACUUUAACAGUGUCACAUCGGAUGUUUGGAUGCUAAUUAGGAGGACUAAACAUGAGCUAAUUAUAAAACUAAUUGCAGAACCUUGUGCUAAUUCGCGAGACGAAUCUAUUAAGCCUAAUUAAUCCAUCAUUAGCAAAUGGUUACUGUAGCACCACAUUGUCAAAUCAUGGACUAAUUAGGCUUAAUAGAUUCGUCUCGCGAAUUAUACUCCAUCUGUGCAAUUAGUUUUGUAAUUAGCUUAUGUUUAGUACUCCUAAUUAGCAUCACAAACAUCCGAUGUGACAGGUGUUAAACUUUAACAGGUGUUUCCCAAACACCCCCUAGAUGCUCUCAGUUUUUCCUCCUCACCCACGAGGAGGCGAAUUUAACAAUCGAUUUUCUCAGAGAAAAAAAAACAGCUAAGAUCGAUUUAUACUGCUACGAUGAGAUUAGUACUGAACUGAAUGCAACCUGUCAUCGCCAUGUCAGUCUGAUGUCGUUGCUGGACUGAAACCACCGCUAGAACAGUUUUCCAAUGGGUCCUCCCUUCUAGCGGACACGGCCCAGUUAGGCCCAAUAGCUCGACCGCUCGACGCGUCGACCGCCGCAUCGGCCCAUCCCGGCACGAGUCGCGCGCCGCCGCAUCCGCUUGUCGCGCCGUCGUCGACCUACCUGCUCGGCCGCGCCGCUCGCUGCCCAGGUCCGCUCGCCACGACCUCGGCCGCCACGCACUCGCCGUCGCCGCGGCCUUGCUCCUGCGCCUCCUCACGGGCCAGCCGCUCUCGGCCCGCUACCAGGCGCGCGCUUGGGGGGAUCCGGCCCCUAAACCCUAGAGCUCGCCGGCUCGGCUCGCUCCCCCCGCGCUGGCAGCGGCAAUGGAGGACGAGGAGAUGGAGAAGAAGGUGCAGCAGUACCUGCAGCGCAAGGGGUUCCGCCUCACCGAGCUCGCGCUGCAGGAGGAGCGCAACCGCCUCUCCACCUCAGUCAUCUCCGACGUUGCGCUUGAGAGGUAGGUUCGCCUGCUUCCCAAGCUAGCUAGGUGGGGUCCUAGGACGUCUCCGCCAGUGGCGGUAGCUUCCGUUACGAUGAAAUUGAAAGCUACUGGACUUGUGUAAUUUGUUCGAAUGAAUUCGAGUUGGUGCUUUUUUUUUCUGGGCGCUCGGAGUGUAUAACCUCGGUGCCCUCGCUCGGCUGUUGAUUUGGCUAGUUUGCUUGCCUGGAUGUGAACUGUUGCCUAGUGCUCUCGUCUGAAUUGGAAAUUAGCUUAGAGAGUCUAGUUGGAGGAAUUGGCACUAACGUUAUGGGAGUUAAGGGGUGUAAAAUUGCGGUAACUCAGUUUUCCAUGAAGGUCCAAUGUUUUCAAGUGCCUGCCACCUGCAGAUGGCAUUCCAUAGAUUUUGCUAUGCACUUAGAUAUAUGCUAUGUCUAGCAAAAGUUAUGAAUCUAGAAAAGUGAAAAUGACCUAUCAUUUGGGACGGAGGGAGUAGAUCUUUGGACAGGAAGGGAAGGGAAUCAAGGGAUAUGUAAGUAACAGAAAAUUCAAUGUUCAAAUCUCUGCCGGAAUUUUUUGUAACAUCCAGUUGAUAAAGGCUGCUGUCUGUAGCUAUGUGGAAAACUGCAUUUUCUGGACUGCUUGCAUGUGAUAAUUUGCAAAGCAGUCUGUUUAUUGGUUCAAUGGUGCUUGAUCGAUAUUACAAUAAUCAGUUGUUUUGUCACUAUCUGCCCACAAAUAUUUUUCUAGUCCAUUAGCAUACACAGAUUCUGAAGGGCUUCUAUUUUCUCUUAUGAUCUUACCAUUACCAUUUUUCGGUUGCUUAUGUUCUUCAAUUACAGGUCUGACAAUGAUCCGGCAAGAUACCAUGAUGGAUAUAGUAAACUAAGAACAUGGGCAUAUAGUUCUCUUGAUCAAUACAAGGUGCGUUGCUUGUAGAUAAUUUGUACUUCACAUGCACAUCUCCAAUAAAUGUGAUUGCUUUUGAUACCUUGUGUCCAAAUUGUUCAUUUGUUUCUGUUAGCUCCAAGUAGCACUUUUAUUUGAAUCCUCUUUGUGUUCUCAGUCACGAAUUUACACUUUUGGCCUCCUUUUAUGAACCACAAAUCUGUUCAUCUGAGCGUGGUUUUGCACUUGACUACUUAUGCAAUUCUAGUUUGUCGAAAGGGUAUUUGCUUGUGGUGCACAAACCACUUAUGAUCAUAUUUUCCUUUCUUUUUCUUAUGGUGCACCUUCCUGUUAUUAAAUCUGGCAGUACAAUUCAUGUUUCUUAAUUCUGGCAAUACAAUAAAUGUUUCUUAAUUCUGAUCUUUUUGUGUAGCACGAAUUACUUCGUGUCCUUUACCCAGUUUUUAUCCAUUGCUUCAUGGAUCUAGUGGCAGAGGGACAUAUGCAAGAAGGUAUUUCUCGUUGUUGGGCAUAAUUGUAUAGACUUCUGCUGUUUUUUGUUUUUAGCCUUAGUUUAUUGAGGCAUUUCUUUCUUUUCCUAUCCUGUAGCUCGGUCAUUUUUCCAUACAUUUCGAGAAGAUCAUGAAGUGAUGCAUUCAAGGGAUCUUCAGAAGCUGGAAGGUGUCCUCUCUCCUUCACAUUUGGAGGUUAUUUAACUAUUCCCCACAUUGUGCCAAUACCAUUUGAAAUGAACACUUGUUUUAUAUGAUUGAUUUUACCUUCUUAAGAUUCCAGAACUGUGCAUUUACCUUCUGCAUGUCAUAAUUUUCAGGAAAUGGAACUGGCCCGAUCUUUAAGGCAAAAUAAAUUUAAAAUUAAAAUGUGCGAGGUAACUACUCUACGAAUUCCUUCUCAUCUCUAGCCUAUUGUUUUGAAUUAUGCUUUUUAAUUCAUCCAUGCUCUUUUACUAGAAUUGAUCCCUUUUAUGGAGAUAAAAUACUGCACAUCAUAGUAAAAAUGACGUACUUUAUUGUGUUGCCGCACGCCAUUAUUCUACCUUUUCCCCCUGCAUUCCUUGAUAGCUAUAGUAAUAUGAUUUAUUGGAAGCUUCAUAUGUUCCUAUUUAAAAAGCAGCUGCUCCAACUAAAAGUUUGACCAUAUUUUCCUAUUGCAGUAUUCAUAUCAAUUGCUUCUCCAGUAUCUCCAGAAAACACAAGCUUUUGUGGUGCUGGGAGUAAUCAAUCAGCACAUAACUUUUGAAGGUAUGGUUCCAUGAUCUGCUGAAUUGAGUACUUCUGGUAUGCAUUGUACUUGUGCAUUUUCACUUCUUACAGUCUUCUCUACCACUUCUAUUUGUACAAUUGGCAGUAUCUCCUGGGCAGCCCUCAUUAAUCUCUGAUGAUGCGGAUGUUGUUGCUCUGAUUGGGACAAGUAAGGACUUGGCAAAACAGAUAAAUCAGAAGGAAGUACAUUGGGGGGUAUGUUACGCAUCAGUUGGAUUGUUUUCCACUUAAGUUAUAUCGAAUAGUCAAUAUUGCAGAUUAAACAGUUUGUAUUUGAGUUGUCUCCAGUGAAGUUAAUAUAUUCUGCUCUAUAUGCUCUCAUGCACUUCUUGUUUCCCAGUUGCUUGAAGAUUCCGUUGAAGAGCGAAUGGAGAAGGCGCUAGCAGAAUCUGAUAAAAUUGAAGCUGAAAGCAAGGAUGCUGAAGCAGAAGAUAAUAAGGCAAGGGAUCAGAAUCUUCUUACAUUAUGUGUUCUAUAUACUGUUGGGCUGUUGAAAUAUCAACCUUAUAUUGAGAAUGUGCCUCCCACUUCACUAUCUGUAGGUUGUAGCUGAUAACAAAUGCUCAUUGCUUGGUUCCAGUUGCACUGGGCAUACCAGUGUUCCUGGUCAUAAGAAUUUUGGUGUCUUAGCAGUGUAUUCCUGUGUAUACAUGUAUUCAUGGUCAUAAGAUUUUUGUCAUUAUAUUUUGCCACAGAAAAGAAACGCAGAAGGUGGAAAGCAAGGUGCUUCUAAUAAGAAGACCAAAAAGGAUAAGCUUGUAGGUGCAACUGGAAAAAAUGUCAGAACUGAAACAAGCAUGGUUUCUGUGGCACCUCGAGUGAAGCCGGAGCUAACUCUUCCAACGACGUAUGUUUCUAAUUCCUUUGUGGCUAUAACUAUGGAAAACUGUCCUCCAAUUUUUCAUGUAUGGUCUUUAUUUUGUCUAAUAUUUCAAAAUCCUAAAUAACACCUCAACCUUAGGCCUUCGUUUAAGAAUGCUAUUCGUGUAACUGAAAAGUUAGGUCAAGGUCUGACAUGUGAAUGACAUCUACUUGCUAGAACUUUUGAUUCUGUGACCACGACACUUUUAUUUUCAGGGACAAGCCAGUAGGGGGGGCUGGCAGGGGCCAUGGCCCCCCUCAUGGCCCAAUUUUUUUCCUACUAAAUCUCUAGUAUAUCUUAUAGUAUUUAGCUCAUCUUAUGAAGAAAAACAUAUGAAUUAGUGUAGUUGCCCCCCCCCCCCCCCCCCCCCCCCAAUCUUGUGAUCCUGGGCUUUGUCACUGCUUAUUUUGGAAUACAAACUGAAAUUGAAGAGGGUUUUUUAGGACACAAAAAACAUUAGGCCCUGAUAGAUUCAAAAUAAUCUUAACUCUUUUGUGCACUAUUCUUAUUGCUUGAUAGUUUGGAGGUUGUUGCUGGUUUACUUUGUGUUCAUACCUUUAUCUGUCAAAGUAAUCAACCUUGAGAUAUGCGCGUAUGGAAAAUCUUUAUGUAUUUGUUUCAGGCCUAUUGAAGUUGAACAAUCAAUUCUUGAGGACCUGAGGAACCGUGCACAAUUGAAUAGUAUGGCAUUGCCCUCUGUUAGCUUCUACACAUUCCUUAAUACACAUAAUGGGUAAAUAUAACUGUUAUUUGAUAUUUAGAACUUCUCUGUUAAUACUUUGGGUUGAGUAUCAUCCUGUGGAACACAGAUUGAACUGCUCAUCGAUAUCACACGAUGGAUCUUUGGUUGUGGGUGGAUUUUCUGAUUCGUCAGUAAAGGUCAGUCCGUUCAGGUCAAAUGUUCUUUUUCAUGCUAUUUAUAUUCGUAGCUGGUAAAAUUUCCUUGCCUUUCACCAGGUCUGGGAUAUGUCAAAGAUUGGUCAAUCAGGAAAAACAUGUAAGUUCGACACCUUUUGUUCCUGACCAAUUCUUUCACUCUCUCUUCGUACUCUCAGUGUUGCUAUGCUAAAAUACAUGCAUAAUUUUGCAUCUAAUUUAGGCCAAGGUCAUGUUGAUGUUUUGUUUUGAAUAUUUUAAUCAGUUUAAGUUACAAACACUAAGCACUACAACUACUGCUUUAUACAGUUUUUCAAUAUUCUUCUGCGAAAGUCUGACUUCAGAAUAAUUCUGCCAUUCAAAUAUUUCCAGUUAUAUUCUGAUGGAGUUUGCUAAUUUGGCAAACUUUAAUUUUCAGCUAGUUCACAGGGGGAGACUGGAUCUCAGGGUGUUCGCGUAUCAACAGUAGAUGAGGGAAAAAGACCCUAUACACUAUUCCAAGGUCAUUCUGGACCAGUUUAUUCCGCGGCCUUUAGCCCAUUUGGGGAUUUUCUCCUAUCAUCAUCUUCAGACUCGACAAGUAAGAUACCUAGACAUAGUGCUUGUACGUUUUGUAGGAAAUCCUUUCCCUAAUUAUCUUCUAAAUUUAGCACUAUAUCCUUACUCUUUAUUUGUUACAGUUAGACUGUGGAGCACCAAGCUGAACGCCAAUCUUGUCUGUUACAAAGGACACAACUACCCUGUUUGGGAUGUCCAAGUAUGUGAAUAACUAUUUAAGAUGUUGAUCUUGCAUUUGUAAACAUUUUAAUAAUAUAAUUAUGCACCGUACUAUUUGUUGAUACCUUCUUUUGUUUACUUUUAUGACAGUUUAGUCCAGUUGGCCAUUACUUUGCUAGUGCUUCGCAUGACAGGACUGCUAGAAUCUGGUCGAUGGAUAAAAUUCAACCUUUGCGAAUAAUGGCUGGGCAUCUUUCCGAUGUUGAUGUAAGUGAACUUCUGGUCCUAUAACUUCGUAUCAUUCGAAAAGUUAUGGUUUGGUUAGAUGGAAUUGUUGGUGUUUUUAAUCCUUUUGUGUUUAGUACCCACUUGUUUUUUCCAAUGUCCUGUAUUGAUGCCAGCAUGAUUUGACGGAUCUUUUUUUUUUUCUUUUGCCUGCAAAUUGUUUGCUUAACAGUGUGUCCAGUGGCAUGUAAACUGUAACUACAUUGCCACCGGCUCUAGCGACAAAACCGUAAGACUAUGGGAUGUACAGACAGGUGAAUGUAUACGGAUGUUUAUUGGUCAUAGGAGUAUGGUUUUAUCACUGGCAAUGUCACCCGAUGGACGAUACAUGGCCUCUGGAGACGAAGAUGGAACCAUCAUGAUGUGGGAUCUCUCAACUGGUCGCUGUGUUUCACCAUUGCUAGGACACGGUUCUUGUGUGUGGACACUUGCUUUCAGGUAAUCAUUAGUGUAACUUUUCUAGGUUAUAGCAGCACCCCAAGUCUAUUUUGAUCUGAUAAUUGUAAAAAAAAAGGUUAUAGAAACUUGCGCAAAGAGUAAGGGUUCAUUGUAGUUAAAAGCAUCACUUGGUAAGCUGGCCAGUCCUGCGGCAAGCAUAGCUGGUUCAUGAAACAGUUUUAACUCAAGUUAUAAUUAUCAGUAGUGCUAUAGCAAGAAAUUAGUUUGCUAAUCACUUACUUAGCCCUUGUGUAAUUUAAAGGUCAUGCAAUUCAUGUCUUCAAAUUACUGGUGUUGGUCUCACAGAUUUUGAUGUUGUUUAGACUCAGAAUACAUGAGUCAUGGCAUCAGCUAAAUGGCGCUGCUCUGUUUGCUUCUUGCCUUAGACUUUUAGCUGAUCAAAUAUGAUACUUGUCCUAUGAGCUCUUUAGUCUUUAAACAACAUAUUUCCUCCCUGAUUGCAGUCCUAUUUGAAUGUCAUUGGCUAAACAUAGGGUCCAGACUUCAAAAUGUAGUAUUAUUUUGGUUUUAGCUCUCGUUGCCUUUUGGAUGUACACUAGAGAUUUCUUGCUCUAGCAGCAACAUACCUUUUGUGGAGAACCUUAGCAAAUGGCAAUGCAGUCAUUGAUUUAUCCCAAUGCAUUCCAAUGGGAUAUGUAAUGUGUUAAGAUUAAACACUGCUGUAGGUUAUCCCUUUUAUUUUUGAAUCGCUUUCCACUUUAUUUAAGUUGCAACACAAGGUCUAAAUUGUACAUUGUUUCUUUCAUUGAUAGUUCAUGAUGUUCUGAGAUAUGCCAUGUAGGACUGCCGUUGGUUGAUUUUCUAAGCGUUAAUUAUACGAUGCAGUAAAGUAUGCGCAUAGUUAAUAUAUCAUGUUAUUGUCUUAGCUGUGAGGGGGCAAUGCUUGCAUCUGGAUCAGCUGACUGUACUGUAAAACUCUGGGAUGUCGCUUCCAGCACAAAGGCCCUGAAGACGGAGGACACGUAAGUUGAUUUACAUAUAAACAUGAUCAUCAAUUCAGCAUAUACUCCAUUCUCUUACUUGGACGUCAAAACAACCUUGUCUUUUCUGAAACAGCAAAGGUGGUUCAGCUAACCGACUGAGGCUUCUUAAAGCUCUCCCUACGAAAUCUACUCCUGUUUAUAGCCUGCGGGUGAGAAGUUUUCCACUCGUUUCAGCACUGUUAAAUUCAACUUAUGUUUUCUAUGAUGCAGUGUAACUGAAGAAUGAACUGAUUUCUGGUUAUUGCAGUUCUCUCGAAGGAAUCUUCUGUUUGCAUCCGGUGCGCUCUCGCUUAGCUAGUCGUAAGCUAUAUAUUUUCUAGAAGACAACUGGAAUUGUUUCGUUGUGGCAUCAAGUAGUAAGCUGACAUUUUGUGUACUUGACUGUGGAUCUUAUUAUAGAGUUAACAUUUUUAUAAGGGAUCUGUGACCAGAAAGCACUGCAGAUACUUCAUAGCGCGAGUGUAAUAUUGUAACAUUAUUAGGUAAUUACAUUACAUCGUGUAAAAUUAUUAUUUUGUAGGUAGUGAGUCAAACCUGAUGAAAACGUAUCAGGGGUGUAUGGAUACACCCCACUAAAGUUUAGCACAUGUCAUAUCGGAUGUUUGGAUGCUAAUUAGAAGUAUUAAAUAUAAGCUAAUUAUAAAACUAAUUGCACAUAUGGAGUCUAAUUCGCGAGACGAAUCUAUUAAACCUAAUUAGUCCAUGAUUUGACAAUGUGGUGCUACCGUAACCAUUUGCUAAUGAUGGAUUAAUUAGUCUUAAUAGAUUCGUCUCGUGAAUUAGCACAGGUUCUGCAAUUAGUUUUAUAAUUAGCUCAUGUUUAGUCCUCCUAAUUAGCAUCCGAACAUCCGAUGUAACACUGCUAAAGUUUAGCACCUAGUAUUCAAACACCCCCUAAAUCUGGUGGCCCAAAUAGUGUUUCUGUGGGAAGCACUGUAUUCGUAGCAUCCUGCAUCCUAAGAUGGGAGACUUCAUGGUUGACACUUUCUUUUCCAGGUAAAAUUUAUGCGUCUCGCACUAGGGCCUAAGCCUAGGGCAUGAAAGUGAAGCGUCAGAUUUGCAAUGAACAUGUUGGUUUUGUGGCAUCAUGCCUGAUUAACGACAGAAUCCAACCUGAUGUGAUAUUUUCGUCACUGUUUGAGGUGUACCAUUCAUCUACAACCAGUCUUUUUCAACGACACGUAGGACCGAGCCCCACAUGUCAUGGUAUACAGUAGACUAGAUAAUCAUUCGAUCGAUUGGUUGGUGGUGAAGAUCGUUUCCCUGUCCUGCGCCGGUGGUCCAGGCGAUUCUGGCUAGGCUUGUUGACGUCAGAAACGCUGUUCACAUGGCCAAUUGGUGGGGCGUCGUCCUCAUGUUUCCAUCUGUUCCGGAGUCCGGACACCGUCUGGGUAGGCCCUACCAUUUCCUCAACCCUGUCUUACAAAUGGAAACUCCAGUAUUGUUAAAAAGGAGCUGUCAUCUUUUCCAACAUCAGAUCAAUUGAAGGAGAAGGCUCAAGGCAUCGAACAUUCAACAAGUUAGGAACCACUUUGGAUGACCUCAUUGUGGUGAUCUUUCUCUUAAUUUGUAUUCCCAUCUUCCUUUAAGAUGAGAUAUGCUCCCAUCUUUCCAUGAGCAAGAAACAUCACGCGACGUCAGUGUAGAUGCUACAUCGUCGUCGUCGCGACAUCUAUUCGUUCAUUUUUUAGGUCCAUUUCAGGACCACAUCAUCUUUCUCGUGUCUAUGUUUAUAUUCAUUAGCAGACUCGUGACGAUAACCUUAUACUGAGGAAGGAAUUAGGCGCGCCGUCUUCUGCUGUUCAGGAAAAGGGACACACAGAGCCAUUGCAUUGGCAAUCUGUGGACAGGCCGACAGGGAUAGGUCAACAGACCAUACUUGACUAGGGCACAUUAUCUACCUCCAGGGCCCAUGAGUUCAAUGGCGAAACAUGACAUGAUUGCAGAGUAGGAGCAUCUGCGCAUGCAUCCAUGAAGUGGCUUCAGAUGAAUUGGACAAAAGGUGUGCUGUCCUGGUUGCACCAUGUGUAGAAGCGAAUCACUGGGAGAGUUUUGAGGAGACAAGAUUGUUAAGCUAACUUAACUAACUGGUAUGACCAGGAGAGCAAACUAAUUGCGAUUAGACGGGUCGGUCACUGCAUCUCAGUUGCACGUCACAGCCAUGAGCAUUGUGAAUUAUUGCUCCAAUAAAAUGAUUGGAGUGUCACUGCGGACCAGCAUUAGGCACUCAGCAUUAGGCCUCGUGUUUACUGGCCAAACCAUAAAAACACUGCUCCGGAGCAGUCGUUUCAAUUCCUUGAGCAUGUAGCGUUAAGGGGAUGUUUGGAUCAUGGACUAAUUUUUAGUUUGGGUCACAUCGGAUGUUUGUAAACGUGAACUAAUUAUAAAACUAAUUGCAUAAGUCGUGACUAAUUCGCGAGACGAAUCUAUUAAGCCUAAUUAAUCUAUAAUUAUCAUAUAUUUACUGUAGCAUCACAUGGUCAAAUCAUAGACUAAUUAGACUUAAUAGAUUCAUCUUACGAAUUAACCUUCAUUUAUGCAAUUGGUUUUUUAAUUAACCUAUAUUUGAUAUUAGAGUAUCUAAACAUUCGACGUGACAGUUACUGAACUUUAAUCUCCGAACCUAAAUCGAGUCCAGUAAUUUCUCUCAGUCCUAGGGUUGCUGCUCAUGGACAAGACAUGGUGGUCGAGUACAAGGUCACUUGGUGAGCUUGUCUUUUCGACGCACCUAGUUCCUGUUGCUCGUGCAGUUGCAGAAGCAAGCAAAUGCCACUGUGAACUGUUCAGAACGAGGCAAAGCCCCUGCCUGCCACUUCCGUUUCCUGCGGCUGCUCGCUUUGCCAGUGCGCGCUGCACCUGCAUCCGCGCCAUGCAUGUCGCCUUUUGCGUUUGACCUUCAUAAACAAAUCAAGUAAUAGGAGUAUAUAUUGUUGAAAGCUGAAACCAAGUUUUAAAUCUCCCUCUAUAACUGCUGCUAUGGUCCGCUACAACUGCUGCGACAAAAAAUUUUGUAAUCCAUGACGAAUUUUUCAUUUUUCAUGACAUUUUCAGAUAACGUUAGUGAUGGCACUCCAUCUAUAAUGAUCAGCCAGUUUUCAUCAUAGAUUCGCAAUUGUGAAUAUGAAGUCCAAAAUACAGGGACGUUUUAUCAAUUUCAUCACAAUUCGACCCACAACACUAUGAUAUUUCAGCAAAUUAGUCACAGACAAUAAAUUAGAAAUCUUCAUGUUUAGUAGGGGAAAAAUAGAAAAAUCAGAAAAAAAAAAUAUGGAAAAAAAAUCGGGGAAAAAAGAAAAAAAGUUGCGGAGACCAAGAAUCAAACCUAGAACCUCCCUAAUACAAAGCAUCGCAUUUACCCAUUAAACUACUUGUAGCACUCCUUACAACCGAGCUAUGCCCCCAUUUGUGAUUUUAUUCAGUAUUUAGUUUAUUUAUAAACAUAUGCGCUCAUGCGUUGCUGCACGACCUAUAACCAUAGUAAAGCACUUCUUACCACCGAGCUACGCCUCCGUUUGUAAUUUUAUUCAGUGUUUAAUUUAUUUAUACACAUAUGCGCUCGUGCGUUGCUGCAUAACCAAUUCAGAAAAAAGUGUGGAGCACACGGAGUUCGAACCAGGGUUGCAGGUUUUGCUAACGCAACAAACUUUACCACUGCAACAGUGCAGUGAUAAUAAUUGGUAAGAAAACCUUUUGUAUGUGUUGGUUCGUACGGUGGCCCAAUAAUGAAGAACAGAGGUAUUGUUUAUCUUUCCCUUUUUAAUUUGGAAUUAAAACUUCUAAUUGGUAUUUCUUCCUCAUAAGAACUCCAAAUUUGAUAAUUCUUUUUCCUGAAUUUUUCUAAAAUCACGAAAUUUCAUUUAAUGGCACUUGUUUGUAUUCUAAUUGCCAUUUCUUGGAUCAUUUUCAUAUGUCUUAUUUUCUUCCACCUAAAUAGAGAAUAAAAAAACAUGUUUUUUCAUAACAAUUGCAAAUGUAACUUAAUAUUUUCUAAUAUUAUGUUCAAAAAAUGGUUGUGCCAAAAUUUGAGAUGCAUACGAGAUUAAAAAUAUUACGAGGUAUUCAAAUCUCAAAGUUUGACUUGAGUUAUAAGAAACUAUGUGAGAGAUGUAUCCAUUUGUGAACAAUGUAUAGUCUUACUUUAUUAAAGUCAUUCAAAUUUUUUAUAGCAAGCUUAUGGACAAAAAUAUGCUAUCACAUAAAUUUGUAGAAUUUUUUGACCAAAUUUAGAUAUUAUUAUAAUUAUUAUGUGGUAAUUUGGAGAUAGAAGUUUGAAUUGUCUCUAUAAGAUAAUUUAAUUGUUCAUCUAUCUUUAGGACAUGAGCUAUAAUGGAACAUAGGAGCAUAAACAAAGUUUUUGUGCAAUUUUUCAAAUCUUAUUGGUGUUAUACACAGUUCAACUUGGAAUUAUCGAAAACGUAGAAAAGCAUUUUAAUGAUAGAAAAUACUAAAUCUAUUAAAAAAUUCUUGAAACUCCUACAUGACAACUUAAAUGUUGUCUACUAUAUUUAAAAUAUAUUAGUGUAUGUAAGAUAAUUUAUUUGCAAGUUACUUUAGAAGGAUGCUGUAAAAUGGAAAAAGAAAACGAAAAACAUUAAACAGUGAAGUAUGUUGACACAAGUUUGACUUCGGCCCGUUUAACUAAUUCGGCCCAGAAAUACACAUCUCCUAUUGCCAUUAGACCAAAGUUGUAUGGCUGAGAUAACUCAGCCCAGAAAUACACAUCUCCUAUUGUCAUUAGACCAAAGUUGUAUGGCUGAGAUGAUCCGGUCUUUGAAUAAAUACGCCAUAUGUCAUCCAUACAUUUAUGACCCCACCAGAUGGUUUGGACAGUUCUAAAUAUGAGGUUGUACACCGAGACGUAUCAGACAUGGAAACUACGGUGCAGGACAACGUGGUCUACGUGGAGGACAAGAACUAGUCUAGGAAUAGGAAACUACUCAUAGCAAUCGGAGUAGGACUCUUUAGUCGAAUCCAACUAGUAUUCUUGUAAACAACCGACCUGUAACCCUACCCCCGGCAGUAUAAGGCGAGGCAGGGAUCCCCUCCAAAUAAGUUCAAUCAAUAUAAUACAACCAACAAAACAAGACGUUGGGUAUUACGCGACAUAAGCGACCCGAACCUAUCUAAAUCGUGUGUUUGAGUUCACCUUCGAGUUCCUGAUCUCGGCGAGCCCCACGCAUAGAACACCACCUCGGGUACCCCUCGGUAGGUUGCCGGGUCUAAACAACGACAGCUGGCGCGCCAGGUAGGAGCUCUCGCUGAGAAUCCACUGGCGAACUCAAUGGCUCAAGUCAUCAUCAAGCCCACCGUCACAUUCGAAGCGGGCGCGACAUUCGUCUUUGCUUCCUGGAUUUGCGCAACAGACGGCGUUGGAAACUUCCACCACCACAUUGCACCGACUCCGAACGAGAAGCAGUACGCUAGUACCACAUCAACCUUCAUUGCGAAGCUCUCGAGGAUUUCAUCGAGAAAUUCAACAAAAUUUUUGACCUAUUUCGAGACUCAUGGGACGAGUCCGAGUACAACUCGACUUCUCCUACUAGUCGGAUUGGUUCCCACGAGCUGGCGCUUAAGCCAUCGUGCGGAUCGGUCUACAAUACAAGUCGAUUCCCGUUCAGACUCCGAAAUUCGGGGGUUGUCUAUCAAGACACCUUGUCUAUAUCACAAUUCAACUCGGAUUUGAUCAAGGACCUCGACUACUACUCGGAUCCGAAUGAGGAGACUCCAUUAUCAGGUCCACAACAGGGUCUGGUAAUCACAUCCACUCCACAAGGCAGAUUCGUCUACUGGCCCAACACUCGGUUUGACACACCUCAUCCCAGCAUGGCAGCAGCCAUAGACCAAGUCAAAACGAGGGUGCUAGAAACAAGCGUCCUAGAAUUGAGGGUGCUAGACCAAGCCAAAACAGGGUAGAGGGUAGUCGGGUGGAACCCUCGGGAGGCUGUGGCCACCGUGGGCCCUACCUAGAGCUUGAACCUCCAGUACGCGACCUCCGUUAGAAGAUCAACAAUAGCCACGAUGCCCAUACAAUCAUUGAAGGGUGCCACCGUGAGCGCGCACAAGAAGUCAAGUACCUCGGAGAAGAUUCUGACAGGUUCCCUACCUUCUCAAAACAAGUACAAAAGACAGUUCUACCCAACGAGUUUAAACCUCCGGAUAUUACCAAGUAUGACAGCAAGCAAGACUCAGUCCAAUGGCUACGGUGCUACGCAUUGUCAGUCCAGGCAGCGGGAGGAAAUGAUGACACCAAGGUCAUCUAUUUCCCCAUCUGCAUGGAGGUAGGGCCACUCACAUGGCUCAAGUCUCUAGAGAAGAUCUCCAUCAACAUAUGGAAGCACCUCAAGGUGGCAUUCACAAAUAACUUUGUAGGGGUAAUGCAGUGUCCUGGCAACAUGAUCAACUUAUCUUAAGUCAAGCAGCAACAAGGUGAGACCCUGCGUAGUUAUCUACGUUGUUUCUUCAACAAGAAAGCCACUAUCGUGGACAUUACGAAGUGGGACACCAUAGACUGCUUCCAGAAUGGUCUCUAUGACCGCUGGAUGUUCCAAGAUUUUGGCAGGAGACGUCCGGAAGAUAUCAAACCUCUCAAGAUCAUGAUACAAGACUGGGCGGAUGAAGAAGACAAGGAGAUUGAGAGGUUCGAGUCUAGCCGUAACAGAGGCCAGAAGAACAACAAUCAGAGUAAUGGCCAACGCAACGACAAGAACUGUAAUGAUCGACCCAACAAUGACAACCGAGGCAACUACUCAGGUGGUCAAAAUCGUAAGAGAAAGCUAGACAAUACUAUCGCGGCGAUGCUCCAGUUUUCCAAGAAAGGUGGCAGGAAUCAAGAAAGAACUCCAUUCAAAAAGUUCCUGAAAAAGCAGUGCCCGUGGCACCCACACUCUAAGCACUCCGCAAUGGACUGCUAUAGCCUGCACAUAGUCAUGAAAGAUCUGUCGGAACCUUCUGGAGCAAAGGACAAGGGCAAGGCUAAAAAAGACAAAGAUCAUGGCAACAAUGGCAAAUUCCAGAACCCGUCCAACACCGUUAACGUCAUCUUCGGCGGCACACCGGGUACUUGUAACAACUCUACCUAAAUUAAGUACUUUUAACUAUAAACCAGUGAUAAAUCAAAUCCCUAAGUUAAGAAGUGAAAUGACCUUUAUAAACCUAAGAAGCUCUUUUUUUGGAGUUUGAAUUAAAGCUUCAAAUUUUAUAUACAAACUUAAGUUUCUGCCCAAAUAAGAGUUGUAAAACUUUUUAAUUCCAACAACUUUUGUUAAAGGCACUUUGACUAAUUCAGAGUGGAAGGAAGUCAAAAACAGCAACCAAAGCCGGUUUUUCUAAAGGACCCUGAAAAUCUCUUAAGUCCUGGAAUUCGAGUUUUCCUUCAUCUUGCAAGAUUUCAUCUCCCGUUUCCCUAUCUAAACUCGAGUCAGAGCCUUAAUGAAAGUUGUAGUACCUCGAGUGUGUUCCAACUUUGUCACACUGACCCGGAUCCAAAUCGGACCCGAACUUGUUCAAAAUCCCGGUCAAAGUGAGGUAAACCAGUCAAUUCACCCCGGAUGCCUUAAAUCCUAAGUCUGGAAUUCCAGAUUUUUGGCUAACUUUGGCGUAAAAUAUCUUCGAAUCCUCUCACAAUCAAAACCGACACCUUAAACAAAGUUUGAAGAACGAUCAGUGUUAAACAAGUUUGUUUAAGGGAGUUUCGGAAGUUGUGUUGAAAGAUUCGGAGGAGGAUCGCUCCAAAGCUGGCCGGGCUUACUGCCCGAAAGGGGGCCUCGACGCCCGCGCGCCAGAGCACGUUCGCUCGCGCGCCGCGCGCCGCGUGGCCGUCGGCCACCGGCAGCUCGCCGGCGCCCUAUCACCAGCGCGAUAGCGACAGGACGAGAGCCACGGCGCCCAACCCGCGCCUGCGACAGAACGGAGCGAACGCCGGGCUAGCCAACCGCCGGCCGCGCGCGUGCCGCCUUCCGCCUGCCACGGCUCUACUCCGCCAAACCCGUUCCGCCCAUCCGCCGGGAAAGCUGCCACACCCCCGACGUCCCGCGCCUCCGCCCGCUCGCCCAACCCCCACGGUAGCCCUUCCGCCUCGCCCGCCUGACAGACCGGAAGCCCCAGACGCGCGCCGCCGAAGGCCAAUCGCCGCCGAAGACCACCCGGAGCUCCGCCUCCUCUGCCCAAUGGCGUCGUCGGCCAAUGGCCGCCUUGCCCGCGCACUCGCCGCUCCCGGCCUUAUCCUUUCCCCACCGGAGCUCCGCCUCGACCCUCCGUCCCACCACGGCCCUAUAAAAGGGAACCCCCUCACCGGCAACGCCACCCCUUUGCCACCGCCGCACCUGCGCCACCACUUUCUCCUCUCAGUCGCCGCUUUCUCCCCGCGCCGCCGCUGAGCUUCCGUGGAGCUCACCCCCUUGCGCCACCCCACACUCCGGUGACUUCGCCGCCACCCUCAAGCAGCUUCUCCCAACCCACCAGCUGCCUGUUCCUCCACGCGGUACCAGAGAGUUUGCCAGUGAUCCACCAGAAGCUCCGCCACCGCAGGAGCACCGUCGAAGCCUCGCCAUCGCCAAGCCUUAGUGCGUACAACCUUCCACCCAAGUCUACUCCUUCGACCCCAAGGCUUCACCGGUAGACCUGGAGGUAAGCUACUUAACCUCCCUGUCCGGCUCGCCCGACCCUUCCUUUUCGUUUCGCCCGACCCUUCCUUUUCGUCUCGCCCGACCCUUUCCUUUUCGUUUAGCCCGACUCCUUUGUUUCGGUUCGCCUGACCCCUUUUCUUUUCGUCUCGCCCGACCCUUCCUUUUCGUUUCGCCCGACCCUUUCCUUUUUGUUUAGCCCGACCCCUUUGUUUCGGUUCGCCCGACCUGUUUUCUUUUCGUCUCGCCCGACCUUCUUCCCUUCUCGUCGCCGACCCUAUCAGUUCGCUGACCUUUCUCCGCCUCGCCCGAGGGCUCGGCUGUAACUUUUUCUUUGACCCGAGGGUAUCGGUGAAAUAAUUUCGGGGAUUCCUCUGUGUUGAGUCUGGGGACCUCGGUACGGUUUUCCUUAAACUUGAGGGUCAGACCCUAAGUUUUCCCCAACUCGACCCUCUCAUCCUGCUCUCCACCAACAGAAGUUGAACUCCCCCACCUUUCCUGUAGCUUUGCUACAAGUGUCCGUGUUAAAACAUGAGUGUGUUGAAAUAACCAUCUAAAAUGUUUAACCCCUGCAUUGCAUUUCCGUGUAGAGUUGAAUCUCGCCGAUGGAACGUACGAGCUUCACCCGGCACCGGAAGAAGACCCCGCCGCGGAACUGCAUCCCUUCGAAGGAGAGCCCGAACCAGAGCAAGACCCCGAAGACCCGCAAGCUUUUCCUGAAGGCAAGCCCCGGAGCAUAAAUUCCUAUCUUGAGUUCAUGCAAUUUUUGAUUACUUGAUUGCGCAUUUACGUUUCGAGGAGUUGUAAUGGAACCUUAGAUGCAUAAACUUAGUACCUUGUUUUUGAAUACUAGUUGCUAAGGCCGAGUAGUUAUAUUGCUUAAUAGGUUUCGGUAAAAGUCGAGUGAUCUCCUGUCACUCGCGAGUUAUAGGAGUUGAAUGUUUCAGUUAUGUUGCAACUAUAAGGACGACGGACGGGGUCAGGCUUAUGUUCGAUACUUGGUGGAUUGCCCCGUCUGUCUAAAUGAAAAUGAACUAAGGUCAAAACGUGUCGGCGUUCGUGAUCAAGUGUUGGAAAGUACUAAUCUCAUACCUAGUAUAGGAUGGGGAAGCCUAGUACCUGAUUGAACUGGGGCGUGGCAUACCCUCCGGCUGUCCUUGGAACGUCGUUCCCAUGGUGCAUCAUGUGGGUGCAAGUGCGGUCACAGUGCAGCAAUAGGCCGGGAUUGUGGAGCAUUGCAUGCCAAAGGAAGUUGGCCUUAACACGUGCCUAAGGGAUCGAUCGGGACGGCUGACAAAUGAAGCGACCCUUCGUGGUGCGCGGAUGUCGUGAGAUUAGGUUUGCCAUGCAUGGUUAAUAAAUUCGAAUCGAUUCGUCUGCCUCUCACAGUUUGGGACUACUUGAUCGCUAUUCCGCACUGAGUAAAAAAGGAACAUGAAUAUGAGAUUAAGUUGAUGCUUGUUAAGUACUUGCUUGGAAAUCAUGCUUGUUUAGUAUAAGUUGCUAAUCUAGACUGGAUAAAGAACGUAGAACAUGAGCUAAAAUGUUGAAAGUAAGGACUGACUUUAGACGCUUUUGGCAAGAAAACCCCAGAGCCAGAAAGCCUUGCAUGUCUAGGUCUUGGUAGAGUUUUUCACCCUGCGGGUCAGUCUUGCUGAGUACUAGUUGCUCAGCCUUGUUGUGGCUAAUCUUUUUUAGGUAAUGUCAAUAGUUUGGGUGUUGGUACCGCUUGGCCGACCCAGCUUCCCCCAGGCUGGACCGUCGAGUGGGAUCCUUCCUCGGAUGGCGAAGGAAGGAAUUUUUGAUGUCAUGAUCGGCUCCGUCGUGAUGUCAUGUAUCGACGUUUAGUUUCCGCUGUUUUCCUUUUACUUCGACCCAUGCAAAUUUCGGUCUGAAUUUCAAAAACUCUGAUGUAAUAAAUUGUUGAACUAUGUUGUCAUGAUGGAAUGUUGUAACCUCUGUGCUACUCACCUUCGCGUGAGCGAUGCUUCUCGAUCCUGUUUAUGUGGUUUGUCGGAUGAAAUCCGACGGUCGACCAAGUUGACUUGCUUAAAGUGCAUAAUCGCGUGUCAGGCGACUUCAAUGCAUUUUAGUCAGGUUAAUUUGGGCGGUUCCACCACAGUACUACUACAAAGCGGUCCCAAAAACUAGCCCUAUGAGAGAUCAUAUCCAUUGAGCUAGCAACGCCUACGUUCCUCAAGUGGUCCGAGGUGCCAAUCACCUUCUCCUUGAAGCAUCAGUGGACUAGUUUCUCAGACCUGGGAUGCUACCCUCUCGUCCUGGACCUAGUAGUCGCACUUUCUCGACUCAACAAAGUACUCAUCGAUGACAGUAGUGGUCUCAACGUACUUUUCGCCAAAACCUUGAGGAAGAGGAGCCUCGACGUUACGAAUAUGCUCACCCCGACAAACUCUCCGUUCUAUGGGAUCAUCCAAGGCAAUGCGGUCGUACCCCUUGGUCAAGUGGUUUUGCCAGUUACCUUCGGGACCAAAGAACACUACCGAAGAAAGUACAUCCGGUUUAAGGUAGCUGAUUUCGGAACUUCGUAUCACACUAUCCUUUGAAGACCUGCAUUGGCCAAGUUCAUGGCCAUCCCGCAUUAUAUGUACCUAGUACUCAAAAUGCCAGGACCCAAGGGAGUACUUUCCCUGCGCGGAGACUUGAAAAGAUCCUAUGACUGUGACACAGAAGCUGUGGAGUUGGCAGCAACUACUCAAGUGCCAAAUUCCAUGAUGCAAGUCUUCGCCACCUCCAAGAAACUGUCUUCAACAGAACUCGAGAUUCCAGAGAAGAAGUCGGGGACAACCAAGGUCAAGCCGACAAGUGAAGUCGAUAUCAAAUCCAUUAACCUUAAAAUUGGUGAUAGCUCCAAGACAGCCCAGGGUUGGAUCCCAAAUAGGAAGCCGCGCUCGUCAGCUUCCUUCGGGCCAACUGAAACAAACUACUCAAGCGGCAAGAUAAAUUUCAGUGGACCGAGGAGGUAGAUCAAGCCCUUCAACAGUUGAAGGACUUCCUAUCAAAGCCACCAGUUCUCAUGGUGCCUAAUCCCAAUGAAAACUUGCUGCUCUACAUCACCGCGACUAUAAAUAUCGUUAGCACGGCGAUCGUGGUCGAAAGACCAGAACUAGGCCAUGUAUACAAAGUACACAUGCCCAUCUACUUCGUCAGUGAGGUGUUGUCGGAAUCCAAAUCUAGGUACCCGCCAGUUCAAAAGCUGUUAUACGCAAUAUUACUCACCUCGCGGAAACUAUGACACUACUUCUAGGAACACAACAUCUCCGUCGUCACGGACUUCCCCUUGGGAGAAAUUCUCCACAAUCGAGACGCAACAGGAAAAAUCUCGAAGUGGGUAGUAGAACUUGGAGCCUUGUCCCUGGAAUUCAAGUUAAGGACUGCCAUCAAGUCGCAAGCACUAAUCAAUUUCAUGGUAGAGUGCAUGGGAAAACCAAGUACCAACACCGGCAGAACGCCCAGAGCAAUAAAUCAUGUACUUUGAUGGGUCAAUCAAGCUCGAGGACGCCGGUGCAGGAGUACUCUUAAUCUUUCUUAAAGGUGAACAACUCAAAUAUGUCUUGCAAAUCUUUUAAUAGGUGUCCAAUAAUGAAGCUAAUACGAAGCGCUUCUGCAUGAGCUCCGCCUGGUAGUCUCGCUGGGAAUCAAGCGAUUGUUAGUCUACGAUGACUUACUAGUAGUCAUCAAUCAAGUUAACAACGAGUGGGAUCGCCACAAGGACAACAUGGAUGCGUACUGCCUGGAAGUACGUAACCUAGAAAGCAAGUUCUCUAGUUUGGAGUUCCAUCACGUGGCUUGUGAUAACAACAUAGCCGCAGACGUCUUAUCCAAGCUCGGAUCUGCUCGUGCUCAAGUUCCAGCUGGGGUCUUUGUACAUGAACUACACAAGCCAUACAUAGCAGAGCCGGCACCUCCAAAAACCACCGAUCGAGGUCAUGAUGCACAAGACCAGAAGGUUAUCAUGAUUGACGUAGAUUGGAGAACCCCGUUCAUUGACUACAUCAAGGAGCACAAGUUACCUCCAGACAAGUCUAAAGCAGAGCAAGUCUCACGGUGUGGAAAGAACUACAUUUUAGUUGGGGACAAGCUCUACAGACGAGGUGCAUCAUCAGGAGUACUCAUGAAGUGCGUCUCACGGCAAGAUGGCAAGGACAUACUGGAGGAAAUCCAUAAAGGCAUCUAUGGCAACCACACAUCCUCAAGAACGAUCAUUGGCAAGGCUUUCAAAGCAGGAUUCUAUUAGCCUACAGUUCUCGCUGACGUCAAAGAACUAGUCCGCGAUGCCAAGGGUGUCAAUUCUUCGCCAAGCAACAACACGUCCCUACCUACAAGUUGAUAACCAUACCAGUCUCUUGACCCUUCGCAUGCUAGGGGCUAGACAUGAUUGACCCUCUGUCUACGGCGCCUGGGGGUUUCAACCGAGUACUCGUGAUGAUCGACAAGUUCACCAAGUGGAUUGAGGUGAAGCCAGUAACCUGCCCCAAGGCAGACAGAGUACUCAACUUCCUCGAUGAGAUUGUCCAUCGCUACGGCUUCCCCAACUGCAUCAUCACAGACUUGGGUUCGAAUUUCAACAACCACGAGUUCUGGGAGUACUGUGAGAACAGCGGGAUCGACGUCCGGUACAUCUCUAUCGCUCAUCUGCGGGCCAACGGCCAGGUUGAGCACACCAACAGGAUGUUACUGGAAGCUCUCAAGAAAAGACUACACGACAUUGGAAACACCAAAGGGGGCAAGUGGCUCAAGAAGCUACCCAAUGUCCUCUAAGGGCUUCGCACCUAGCCGUGCAAGCUUACAGGGUACUCACCCUAUUUCCUGGUCUAAGGAUCAGAAGUCGUCCUCCUCGUCGACAUUAUGUGGAAAUCUCUAGUAGUCGAGCAGUACGAGGAGGGUGCGGUAGAAGAUACAAGGCGUCUAGACUUAGACAACCUCAAAGAAGCUCGCUGUGCAGCACUUGUCCAGUCAACAAGAUAACUUGAAGGAAUUCGCCACUAUCAUGAUCGCAACGUCAAACAACGUUCGUUCAAUAGAGGUGACAUAAUCCUUAAGCGUAUUCAAGACACUAGGGGGCUGCACAAGGUGAAUUCGCCAUGGGAGGACCCUUUUAUCAUCUCCAAGGUCACGGGACCUAGGUCGUACAGGCUACAAACUCUCUCUGGUGAAGAAGUCAACAACUCGUGGAACAUCGAACACUUAUGUCGAUUCUACCCAUAGUUAAUAUAUUCAUGUAAAUUAGCCAUCGGUCUUAGUUGUAUAAUUACAAUUCAAUAAAGCAAAUUUAUUUUCGUCGUAAAAUGACUACUUCUGCCUAAUUAUGACUUGCAAAAGGUUAGUUUUCUGAGCUAUUCAGCUCCCCGGGUACUAUCACCCAACUCGCGACUUGUAUUUACAAGUCUGCAUAAAAGAUAUUUUCUUAUUAUCCAACUCGUUUAACAAAAUUAUCCAUAUGUGGCUUGUAAUAACAAGUCUGUACACAUAUUUUUCGAGUUAUUCAACUGGUUGGGUAGCAGCAACUUGCAAAAAGCAAACCUGCCCAUAAGAUAGUCAGCUCCUUUGGAUAAGUCUGUUCAUCAACGGAGUUACUCGUACUAUCCGAUUUCUUAUCUAGACUAGUUUGUCUAGCUGUAGCUUAUAAUAAUACAUCUGUAAUCUCAUGCCUUGGAAGCACAGUACUCGAGCAACCCAGAUACGUUGUAAGGGUAGGCUCCACCAGACGAAACCCUACCCCUCGGCUCUCUUCCCCUCGUCACUCCCUCUCUCCCCGCAGAUCCACCCGCACCUGGUCGACUACGGCGACUACGGCGCCAACCCCCAUCCCCGCCCCCUCCGGCGUCCUCCUCCCCUUCCUCCUCGGCGUCGUCGACCCCGGCAUGCUUCUCCUCGCCCACCGCCGCCACCCGCAAUGGGACAUUGGCUUCCGCAUUGACCUCGGCUAGUCCGCGAGGGACGACAAGGACCAGGUUGCCAGCCCCAGCUCAUGGUCGCGCUGCCCCCGCCCCACGACGCCGUCUCCGUCGACUUGACCCCGAUGGACGGCGGGGAGGAAGUGGUGCGGAUCGAGAUGCGGGUGGUUCGGAGGCGAGAGGCACUGCGGUCGGUGCGCGUGUCGCGCACCCCCGGGUCCGUGCUGGGGAGGGCGACGGCGGCCGCGCCCGCGCCCGCGCCAGCCGUGGACAGACCUACCGCCGCCGGUGAUUCCGUUUUUCUCUCCCUAGCUUCCACCGACGACCUCUUCCUCAUGGAGAAGUAGGCGGCCGGGGACGUCCUGGUGGUCGCCAUCAUGAGCGCCGCGGGGCCCAUCCUUCCUACCUACGUCCGCAUUGGUUGGUCCAACGGCUGGCCGAGAUGCAGUCUCGGCAGGGCUGAUGGUAUUGGUUGCAAUCACAGUUUCUUUGUAAUUACCAUUCUUAGCAGUCGGAUUUGAUCACGGUGUCUAUUAUUGGUUGCCUUGUGGUCAUAUGUGAAUCUGUUAUAUCUGAGAAUGACAAUUGCAAUUUUGCCUGCACAUUCUAAUGCGGAUGUUUCAAGCUCAGCUAUCAGUGAAUUUGUAGAUUUCCAUAACUUGAGUAACGUAGAAAGUGCAUCCUGCAUACAAAUAGAGUAUAUGUAUCUGACUUGCCAUGGAUCCAUAUACUUCCAUAGCCCUGCAGAGCUUGUGUGUGUCCAUUACCAUUGACCUGCAGACUGUCUCUAUAUAUGUGAAGUGUAGUAUCAUGGCCUGAAUUUUGAUGUGAAAAUCGCGUUGUGUCCUUGAACUUGUGUCCUUUUCUGUCUGAAACUUUGGAUGCUGCUGAACUUAGACUCAACAUGUGUAAUGUAUUUUCUGUCCACUUGGGUUCUUUCUUCCUUCUGUGAUUGGAAGUGCUGCUUGAAUACCUGCUGCCUUUAACAUUGAAUACCUUCUGCCCUGAAUUGCAUCAUUGAAUAUUGUGUGAUUGCUCAUUUGCAGGAAGCCGCUGCCUUGCAUAGGCCCCAAACAGUCCGACCACAAGCAAACCCUGGACAUUCAUGUUAAAUUAGCACUUGUGUACUUGAGGUACUGAAAUGUCUGAUUUCUCGACCACUACAAAUUAGUACAUGUGUAGCCGACCACUACAAAUUAGUACAUGCGUAAUCGACCACUACAAAUGUACAAUUUGUUGCCAGUCUACUUGUACAGAUGUUUUGCUCCUGCCAAAUGUUACUUUAUCUAAAUUGACGCUUUUCUUUUCCACUGUUUUCGUUGUGUUCUCAGAUUUGAUAUAGUUAUAUUACUCUGUUCAACAUGCAUUUGAGUAGAUGUUGGCAGAUGUCAUGGACGGCUAUAUUUGUUUUCCAUAUGCAUGCUUUAGAGAAGAUUUCACAAUUAAAGUUUAUUGUCAGAGUCCUUUGUCAUUUUACAGUUCAGUAGUGAGCCGUUCAGUCUAUCAGUUAGCUUCAGGCUGAUUUGGACUGGGUCACUUGUUCUCCAGAUCGUGUCUCCCAUCAUUCUAAAUACAACUAUGCACUAACGAAUACAUUGAUGUCUAAUGUCUUGAAUGCUCUUCACCUUGUCAUUUUCUGUUGAUUGAAUUGCUACCUACACAUAUCAAUCUGUCUAUCAUUUCCAUAAAAAAAUUAUUCUGUUUAAAGCAUUGCCCAGGUCAGUAUAAAGCAUUAUGUUUAAAGCAUUGUUGAGACCUAAUUAAUUUCAAGCUGCUAGAGUUUGGUGUUUAGCCUAAUACAGUCAUACUUCACACUUGAAAUUGUUUCUAAAUUCAGUGACCAUGGUGAAUUCUUACCCUGGUUUCAAAUGAUGGGAUUUUUCUGGUCUCGUCGAUUACUUUCUUACCCUGGUUGCUUUCUAGGUGCUUUGUUAUCCUAGCUGACAACACUUAAACUUUAUUUUUGAAGGUUUAAUUUUACUCUGUAUAAUCAAGGUGCACUUUGAUUGCCACUCUUACAAGUUUCUUAUAGCUCUGAUUCUGAAAUGUGUUCAAGUGAAACAUAUUUGUAGCAUUACACAUGUUUGUCAUAAGAAUGCUAUUACAACAUAGAGAAAUAUUUUGUUUUGUGUGAUUUGGACUGAUUUUGCUUCCUAGAAUUGAUAGGUGUGAUGGCUCGAGGGAUGUUUUCAGGAUAAUUAUAAUUACCAAAAUAUUGUGUUGAAUGUUUAUGAUGCAAGCAUUGUAGUACUUUCAAUUGCAAAUACUGAUAAUAUUUUCUGACGUGUGCUUUUCAGGUUGAGGACUAGAUGCAGCAAGGAACAAUCAGUUAGAAGAGAUUGGUUGAGGAUAAGAUGCUAGACAGAAACAAGCAGAAGGAAGAAGAGAUUUUUGUUGAUCAUAGCUUCUUUUUGGUACCUUUCUAAUUCAUAAUGAAAUGUAUAUGGUCUCUUGUUUGGUGUGCUUUGUAGCAAUGUUCUAGCGUUCUCUGUGUGUCUGGUAGCUCAAAAGAGAUUUUGCUGCCUAUUUUCAUUUUAGAAUAUUUUAAUAUAUAUUUACUUUGGGCUGUUAAUGGUUUGGGCCAUACGAUCUGUUAAAAUGGGCUAGAAUUGGAUGGCCUGUAAAUUUAUGGGCCACACAAAGAUUCAGCAUAUUGGGUUGUUCCUAAAAAUGGACCACGUGAAAAAAAAAAUCUAACAUGGGCUAAGCCCAUAAAUAAAUGGGCCUGCAACUACGUUGGCAACCAUGUCAGCAGCCACGUUAGCAGUCACAUCGCAUUGAUUUACCUAGUAGUGAUGUGGCCAUUCAAUCCGUGAUGAUUAUUUUCGUCACUAAUUUUGGGCUUGGAAUCCGUGAUGAUUAUUUUCGUCACUAAUUUUGGGCUUGGUUGGGUUGCGCGGGCUCAAGGUUAGUUUAUGAUGGUAUAGAAACAUCACAGAUUGAGUCAAUCUAUGAUGAUUUUGUAGAAAUGCCACACAUGUUAAUCUGUGACGCUCAAUUCAUGACGUUAUGAAAAAUCGUCGCAGAUGUUGUUUUAUGAUGAUUUUUUGAUGAUCUGUGAUGAAAUUUGUCUGUCAUAGAUUACAGGAUUUCUUGUAGUGUUAUUUGAGGUAUGGUACCGCUAUUUAUGUUCAUGAACAACUUAGAUGCUAUAGCCUCAUUUAGCUCCGCUAUUAGCUAUUUUAGAGUGCUGCCUCUAAACCUUUUAGCCCACUAUUUAAAAUAUUGGUUGAAACUAUAUUUUGCUAGGACCUUCAUAUACUGUAUUUUGGUAAAGAUCAUCGCUAUUUUUAAAAAAUAUAUUCAAUCGGUUGAGUUUAUGCACAAUGGAUGCCUAUUUGCAAUAGAAUUAAAUAAGUGCGUGGGUAUUUACAAUAAAAUGAUUUACGAGGGCUAAUGUUAAACUUGAAGUAGCUUACGUGAAUGUUUAUGUAAUUUUAUCAAAGUGAUUGGACCUGCGCUUCUGACUUGUUUUGUGGAACCCCAACGGUUUUACGGCCACAGUCGGUCUGCACGGUUUCCACCCAGUCCCUGUGCAUUUUUAACACGCGGCUCGUAGGAUCCGUUCGGUACCACUAGGGAGCGUUGUGGAGGGGAACGUAGUAGUACAUGCCAGCUAUCAGGCGCACGGCCCUCGGAGUCGGACCUGACCAUCGGUCGGGCACGGCAGCCAUGGCAGCCUCACCGUACCGUACAUGCUCCUCCUCCUCCACCCACAGGCUCGCUCUGCAGGGGGACCCCGCGCGGCGGAUGAGCUCAUGAUCAAGAGCACCCGAGCGCGCGCGGUCCCCGGCGCCCGCCCCCGCGGCCAACCACGAGUCGACAGGGGCAGCGAUGCGACCCGUACGCACGUACGUGGCCGGCUGGCCGGCGGCCUCUGCCAUUAGCUCUCACUCCCUGGUCCGGCUCCGAGCCGAGUACCACGGCUCCACUGCGGGAACGCGCGGCGGGCAGCCGGGCACACCCGUCGUCGCGCGAUCGGGGCGAUGGGAUCACGCUGCGCCAACUUAUAGUACGGGCGUCGUGGUCCGGCCGGCCUGGCGCGCGCACCGGCCGGCGGGCAGUGGUCAGGCCCCCUCUGGCGCACGGCAACUCUGCUCCCGCCGGCCGGCCACCAGGCUCGCGCUCGCGCUCGCGCCUGGGUGCACGCACGGACGGCCUUGCAACCUUCGGUGCCCGGCGCGUGCCACCACCUCUUACGCUAGCUGAUUCUGAAAAAGUAGUACCAAUCCAUGAGAAAGGUCGUAGUGCCUGCGUGCGUGCCAGCAGCAUCAAGCUACCAACCAGACACAAAUUUUGUGCUACAAAGUGCCUCAGGAAUUCCAUUCAAGCUCCGUUUGGAUGUCGACAUGCUUCCAUACCAAAUUAGCCCUGGUAUUCAAAUAGGCACAAUUCAAAUUCUACUGUCUGCAUGACCAUUGCAUUGACUUAUGGAAUCUUAUGAACCAUUAGCUCGCCGCUCGGUGAGAAAGAGAAGGGGACGUUGCUGCCCUCGCCGUCCUCGAUGUCGGCUCACCUCCCUGAGCAGAAGAAGGUAGGGGAAGAGACGGCGCGGCUCGUCAGCGGAGGGAGGCAUGGGCCGGCGCGACGUGCUGGCGGAGGGAGGACGGGGUGGCAGGCCUCACCAACGGAAGAAGAACGUGGACGGUGGGGCUCGCCGGCGGAGGAAGGACGAGGUGGUGCGUGGCUCACCGAUGGAGAAAGGAUGGGGUGACGUGGCAAGACGAUGGAGCGCGGUGCGGCACGGUAUCGCGUAGAAGGGGAUUGGAAGGGACGCGCGAGCGGAUGAUUCCCUCCAAUACGAAGGGGGUUGGCUCGGUAUCGGGAGCGAGGGGUUGAUGGGGUGAUGAAUGCCGGUUGGUAUUGAGGUUAGUUUCCAAUUCUGAAUUUCAGGCUAUCCAAAUAUCAAUUCCGAAUUCUGAGGUCGAAUAUCUAUAUCCAAACAUAGUGUCAGAUUUGACUAUUUGAGCAGCAGAGCAUGCUAUAAUCUAUCGUUACCUUGAAUUUGAACUUGAAUAAACAUCUCCCACAACACAUGAUGUACGUGAAUAUUUGUGUGAAGUGUAUAUAAAUGGAUUGGGUAUACAAUAAUUUUACCUACCUUUAAAUUUACAUGUUGAACAACAAUUCUCACCUCGUUCCCACCCUAACAUCAACUCUCACCUCACCUCCAUGCCAUAACGGUGAGGGUGGAAGAGCUAGCGCUCAAGAGCAGAUGAAAGCUACAUUGUACUAAGCAUGGAUUUGUAUUUUGCUUGGCCGAAAGAUGCAAACAAUUCUGCAAUCUCUGGCCUCCUCGUCGUUCUCGACCUUGUCACGUGGUACCACUGAGAAGGAACCGGCCGGCCAUUUCCAGAAUCACAACGGCUCCACCCUUCAUGCAGGAGCAGGACGCCACGGAGCAAGCGACGACGCAGUUGGCUGUUUUCCAUGUAAGGAAUCUCUCUGCUUGCUCCGGCGGGCGGCGGGCCUGACCUCGAAGGACGUGGUUUGGCUUGUGCUGCGCUCCUGCAUCUGCAAUUCUGCAUGCGUUAAUGUUACUCCUUUCCAAGCCAAGCACAGUGACACGAUGAGUCGAUGACUUUUCUCGUGCUGUACAGUGGUAACUGGUAAGCCCUGCCCAGGCUCCUCGUCCACGAGUGUCGUCCUGCACACACGCCGGAGACGAUCACUAUUCGCUGCACAAGUGUGGGGUGCCGUGGACUGCUCGUCAGAUGUCCUGAAUUCCCCUGCUGUUGUGUCUGAACGCCUGUAAAUUGAAACAUCGUCUGCUCACUCCAUUUUAAAUUAUAUACCAUGCAAGACACAAUCUUGUUUGACCAAAAAAAUAAAGGCACAAUCUUGUUACCGCGGGAAGGAUACGUGUUAUUCUACUGGAUUUUGAAAUUAGACUUAUUUCAUGAAUCCUGGUAAAUUUACAGUGGUUGCCGGCAGUCAUGAUGAGUGGACUAAAAAGACACUGGUACUGGUACAUGUACUCCAUAAAUCUAGCUAGCAAGCAUUAAACGUACCAUGUAAUUACUAUGCCUGUGUUAUUCCAUACGUAGAUUUACUCCCUCUGUUAUAAAUUACUAUUCGUUUUAGUUUUUCUAAACACAUAGUUUUUAUUCCGUAUCUAAACAUACAUACAUCUAGUUCCAUAGUAAAAACUAUGUAUCUUGAAAAGUCAAAACGAAUACUCCCUCUGUCUGUAAUACAGCCCGUUUAGAUUUUUUCAAAGUCAAACUUUUUCAACUUUGACCGUAAAUAGCGAAAUAAUCAUAGAGACUACUAACAUAAAAAUGAUAAUAGUAGAUUUAUCAUGAAACCAACUAUCACAAUAUAAUAUGUAAUCUUCUCAAUUUAAAAUAAAUUAUUUUUAAAAUAUUGUUGAUCAAAAUUAAAAGAAUUUGAUUUAAAAAAAUUAAAUGUAACUAUAUUCUAAUACGGAGAGAGUAGUAAUUUGGGAUGGAGGAAGUACAAGAUAGCUCUAGCGUGAUCGAACCAAUGCAAGACGUAACCUUAUGCAUUUUCUUUGAUUACUUGUGCCCAUAUGAAUGAAAGAUGAUGUAACGUAGGAAUACCCACCAUGGGGCAUGUAAGGCCUACAGUUAUCCCAAACUUCCAACUUUGGCACUAUGCAAAAAGAAGAUUUCUCAUCACAUCAAACUUGCGGUACAUGUAUGGAGUACUAAAUGUAGAUGAAAUCAAAAACUAAUUGCAUAGUUUUGUUGUACUUUGCGAGACGAAUCUUUUGAGCCUAAUUAGUCAAUGUUUGGACAAUAAUUCACAACUACAAACGAAAUGCUACACUUGCGCAUUUAUGACAAAAUCCAACUUUGACAAUCCCAAAUUGGGAACUAAACAAGGUCUAAAAGGAGAAGAACCGACAAGAUCUGACAGCUCAGCACUACAUCACAGUUCUAAUAGACAUCACUUAAAAAAUGUACUCUCUUCGUCCCGAUAUAAGGAUUUGAACAGUAAAUAGUAAUAGGGGUGUUUGUUCUUUAGUCCCUCCUAAAAUUCCUAUCUUUGAUACUAAUUAGAAGUAUUAAACAUAGAUUAAUUACAAAAUUAAUUGCACAGAUGAAGACUAAUUUGUGAGAUGAAUCUAUUAAGCCUAAUUAGUCCAUGAUUUGACAAUGUGAUGCUACAGUAAACAUGUGCUAAUGAUAGAUUAGUUAGGUUUAAUAGAUUCGUCUCGUGAAUUAGCCUCCAUCUGUGUAAUUAGUUUUAUAAUUAGCUCAUGUUUAGUCCUCCUAAUUAGCCUUCGAAUAUUCUGACAUGAAUUUUAGUCCGGACUAAAGAUCCAAAAUACCCCAAAGUAUUGAUAGGAAAUGGCAUUAUUGUACCUGUCUAAGGAAAAUAGAGAGUCCAAAGCGCUUCAGCAGUUCACUCAUAUCCCUUCGGUGCUUUAAAUAUUUUUUUUACAAAUAGAACCCACAUGUACUCAUGCAUACGCUGGACUGAUGAUCACUUCAUGCGUUUAAUUUGGGAUAUUUUUGAGCCUUAGAAAUGCAGUCAAAUGCAGUUCCCGAAUAUUAAAAGAAUAUUUAAGUUUUGCCACAUUUCGACUGUAUCAAGAAACCACAUGAACCUUAGAAAAUGUAAUGUCCAAGGAGAUAUCGACAGAUAGUGCUAUAUGCAAAACGGCCAGGUUAAAAAGAAAAUCUAUAGAGUAUAUUUAUAAUUAGAGAUGACAAAUACUUUGAAAUGUAAUGGUCAAAUAAUGUAUUGACUGAUAGUGCUAUAUCCAAAGGGCCAGGUAGAAAAGGAAAUGGAUAGAGUAUAUUAUAAUUUUAUGUUACUCCCCUUCCGUUUCAAAAAAAAAAAUGUUACUCCCCUUCACUUACAAAUAAAUUAAAUUAAGCAAUGUUUAGAUAUCAAUGCGGCCUCUAAAUAAAACAUAUUUACCAUUGCUUUUGGCAAAACAUAUUUAUAAAGGAAAAAGUAGUAUAUUAUUACAAUGUUACAAUUAGUGACACAUAAUAAAGUAAUUUAUAACCAGACUUUACAAUAAUUAACUUAAAAGAUAAAUAUAAAAUGAGAAAAAAAGCUGUGUGACCGGAGCACUAUAUAUAUCCCUUCUAGUGCCAAAUAAAUCUAGCAUAAGCCUUCUCUUUCCAUUCCAUUUAAUCUAACAUGUCAAAAGCUAUCGUUGUUAGUCAAAGAUGAGAUUUGACAGAAACGAAGAAAGGUAAGUUUUAAAAUGCCCUUCCGACCUAUGGCGACGAGUUGCGGCACGGACCGAAUUGAACGACAUGGCCGAGGCCGACGUGCCGCAAGAAACGCAGAUCGAUACCGCAAGCGGCGGCAGGCAAACCAACGGCCGAAACGUCAUCGGCCCAGGCCGAGAGGACGAUGCCCCUGCCCCCCUCGCCGUCCUUGGAGCACUGCCUGCUUUCUGCGCCCGGGGGGAUGGAUCAAUGGAUGGAUGGGCUUGUUACUGCUCCCCUGGCAACCUGAUUAGCACGCCGUCACUGCAUUAGCACUGCUCCAAGCUCUCGCUGAUCCUGAUCACUGCUCUCGGCGUGCUUAAUAAAUAAAAUAAUCCCGGAGCGGCCUCACUCCCCUCAAGCUCAGCUGCGGAGCUGCUCAGCUUAGCUUAAGCGAGCCCAGGUAGAACUAGUACAAGGCCCCGUCCCAUCUACCAGGCCGUCGUCACCCACCCUCCACUCUCUUGGUUCUUCCUCCUCCUGCUCCAACUACGGCCGCCGCCGAUGCUCACCGGAUCCAAGAAGAACGGCCGACCGAUCGAUCGACUCGCCUCCCUGCCAAUUGCUUGCUCCUCCGUGCAUGUGCCUUCUGCAUCUGUUGUCAUCUGGUUGUUACAGGAGAAGACACAGGCGUGAGUGAGAUUAAGAGGCCCUGAAGAGAUUGACAGAAGAGAGCGAGCACCCGGCGCGGCGGCCGGCAUGGAGCGCAUGCCGUCCCCGCCGCGUGCUCGCUCCUCUUUCUGUCAGCCUCUCUCUCGUCCUGACCGGGCCGAGGCUCCCUCUGAUCUGGGCCGCCAUGCCACGCCACGCUGGCGAGGAGGCGACAGAAGAAUUGGGGCGCGGUGGAUGGAUCGGGAACCGUGCCGCCACGCAGAGAUGGAUGGGGGCGACACGCAUGCUGCGCGAGGACGACGGCUUUCGCAGGCUGCGCCAGGCGGCAAGGACAUGUCACUUCAAUUAUCUUCUAGAGAUACGCAUGGAUUUCGAGUAUUUUUUGCUCUCGAUUUGAUCCCUUUCGGUCAGGCUGCUGUCGCGGGGCUACUACCGAGGAAGAGGAUGAGGAUGCUCCUGCUGAUGCUGCUGAUACCGAUGGCACGGCCACGGCGCGGAGAUGGGUUCAAAGAGUACUUUGCUUCCAUGCCUCGCACUGCUCGCAGGCGGCGAGCUUGUUCGUGGUGGGUUUUGCAGUACACUGAAAAAUGAUUGGUAGUUUCGCCGUCUGAUUUUCUGAGGAUUUUCCUUCUCUCUCCCACUCUCCAGACUUGCUGCCUGCCUUGGGAGCUGAAUCGGGGAUGCUGACAGUACACUGCGGCACUGUAAGGAUUUAACAGAACAAAGACUACUGCAAAACUGCAUCGUCUCUCCCUCUCUCUCCCUUCCCUUUCCCAUGGUGCAGCUAGAGCUAGCUCAUCUUCUCUCAUGGGCACUGUAGCCAUUAUUCAUGCGCUGUCUCUUCUCUUUCUUUGCUGAGGCUGCUCUUGUUGUCCUGGAGUUCUUGGGGUCCUCCUGCGGCCAUGGCGAUGCAGGUGGCUCAUGGCUGUGCACCUGUGCUGCUGCUGAGCUCCUGUGUUGGUUCAAAAAUGGGGCAUGGAGGGUACCAUGUGAUGAUCCAUAUUUGGCAAAGACCGUGGACUCUCACAUUGCUUUUUGCCAGAUCUGGUUUGCAUCAAGGUACGUUCUUGUAUCUCUCUCACACACAAGUCACGCAUUUGGCCUUUCAUGGUUUUUGGCUGGCCCCCUUCUUCAUUCUUCAUGAUUUUUCAUCUCCUCUUUCUACUCUAUCAUCAUAUCCUCGUCUCCCUUCCUGAUCUCUUGGAGACACGCAGGGAGAGAAUGGAGACCACGCUGCUGGUCUUUACAGGGUUGCUGGUGAAGAUGGUUGGUAAGAACCACUUCACUUUUGUUUCAUUGGUUUCAUGGCUUCAGGGUGGACUGCUUUAUCAUGCAUUAUCUAGUGGUCCUCCAUAGGACUGUAUGAGUGACCCAUUUGCUGUUGCUGUUUUCUUUCCUUUCGUUCUUUCAGGAUGUGGGCGUCAUGAAUUCAUGGGCAACACAAUUUGCAAUUUUUUCUUAUGACCAAGGUAUGUACAGACCUUUUUCUUAUGACCAAUGUGCAUCCACCAUGUUGAAUUUGGAUGCACAUUUAUGGGUUCUAUUGAUAUUGGAUCUUUCAAAGUUUUGAUAUGUUCCAAUGUUUCGUUUAAAAGUUUAUGUGCUACUGUGAAAACUAGCUAGGAGUUGAUUUGUUGGAAAUUUGGAAUGCAAAGACCAUUUCAUGAGAUAAGAGCCCACAUUUUCUUUGCAUCCCUUGCUGAGUACACAAACUGGAUGGGCUGGGUUAGAAGUUACUGUCAUCUCAGGGAACCUGUUAAGUCAAAACGAGGUGUAUGGUUUUUUAGUUGUGUUAUUAGUUAACCAUAUCUUAAGAAAUCAAGAUGAUGGGAGCAUGUAAUCAAGGUUAAGUGACGAUAACUUAAUCUUUGUCCUAGCUAGUGGAGCACCUUUUUGUAUUGCCUUUCUCCACUCCAAGAGAGAGGAUACGUCGUAUAUGCAGAGAAUGAACCAUCAUAUGAGUUACAUCUUAAUUGAAGUGUGCAGCAGUUUGUUUGCGAUUGCAAGUGUGUGGAAUUGGUUUGGAUAGAUGAUUAAAAAUUGAAAGUUAGACCAUGCAAGCUCAUUUAUAGUUUUAUGUUUUUUUUUUUGUCGUAGCAUGCCGGUGUUGAUUUAAGCCAAGCCAUUUAUUUAACCUCAGAUAAGAAAGAAAGGCAGACUUCUUCUGAUGAGAGAAAAAAAAACAUGGAGAGGAAAAACUGUCAUGUAACCAUACAUGCACUCUUAGUUUCUUAUUUUUGAAAGAAAUGUUCUCUUUAAUUACUCUCUUUGUAAUAUUUUUCUAUUAUUUUUUUAAAUUUUGUCUGUGUGUAGUGUAUACUAUGAUGCUGCUUGCUAUGCAUGCAUGUUUUCUACAUUGAACCCAGCAACAUAUGAUGAACCAAUACCACCGUAUGUAAGCAUACAGUUGCACACCUGUCUAAAAUUUACCGACUAUGGUUGCACAAAUAAAAUGCUUCUGUUCAUCUUGGUUUUCUUGCUGUUCUGUUAGCUUACUUACUGACUGCACCGGCCGGCCCAAAUACAUAUAUAGUUGAAAAGACGAUAUCUCAGAUUAAAAUUUGUGAUAUAGUAUGGUAUCUAUGCUCUACAUAUGUAACCUCACUUAAAAAUACCAUGGUGAGUGUGCAAAUAUGAGUCGCAAUAGAUUUAUAUGGGGGGUAAGGUGUAUUUUCCUUUACUUGAAUGGCUGACUUGCUUUACUAGUUAAUAAAAUAUAUAGAAACAUCACACUGAUUACAUUAUUGUUACUUUGUAGCGACUCGUGUAUCGUUGAACUGAAUUUGACUGUUGAAUUGGAUGCACCAUCUAGCAAGUGCAUUCCUUCAAUUUUCAAGCAUGUAUCCGAAUUGUAUACGAUAGAUCAUGGCUAGGAAUCCUAGCUACAAAGAUUCUCAUGAGUUGGAAAGGGGAACUCCGGUGAGGAGUAGGUCAAACUAGUAAUUUAUAUUUGAGGGCCUUUGGACAAAAAUGUGAUGCUUCCUCCUAGAAGGGUGCUUUAUAUUUAUAAGUAAGUGGUUAUUGAAAUUAAAUCAUUGCUUUAGGUGGGACAACCAUAUGAGGAGUAUGUCAUGAUUGUUAUCUCUAGGUUUGAUUGCAAUGAAAAUCCUCUAGCAUUGAUGUAUUUAACUGGUUGAAGUUGGGUCUCACCUCUCUCGUGAUUAAUCCGGUGAAGAAAUCAAAAAAACUCAUUGCACGUUCCAUAAGGUGUUUAAAAUAGGAUUUCUAAAACUAAGUUGAUCAGCCCAUAUAGAAAGCAUGUCCAAUUUAUUUCUAAAUGUGCUCUAGGGUUUUCUAGGUUUCUGCUCUAUGGGAAGAUUCAUUUUUUACUAGGAACCAGACAUCAAUUCCAAUUCUAAGAGAGGCAAAUUGCAAUGUUGAAAGUGAAUUAAAUGAAUAUGUCAUAUAAAAGGGUGUACGGAGAUGCAAACUUGACUAAUCAACUUUUUCCCAAGGUAUUAGAGGGUCACCGCUCUUUAUUCGUGGAUCAUCUAUGAGCAAAAGCUUUUGCAAGAUCAAUGAUAUCGACUAGAGGGGGGUGAAUAGGCGAGUUUUCAACUAAAAUCACAACACUAAAUAGUUGCAGUUAGUAUCAAAAAAUAAAUUUACUAAUGCUUCACUAGAUAAGCUAGGUGAAGGUUUUUGCUACCUAGGGUGUCAAGAUACAAUUCAAUCUCUAGGAAUGUAAAUUGCUCUGAGUAAAUUGCAUAAAUGUAAAUUUGAGCUCAAGGAGAAACGAAACAUGAGAGACAAAUUUUAUCCCAUGGUAUCGAGUGAUUUAAAGGUCACCCCUAGUCCAUGCUGAGGUGGAUUCAAUGCAAGGUAGCAAAUCGCGGGCUAUCGUAUUUAGUGGUGUCCAUCUCUAGCUGCUAUGGCAGCUAUAGCGCCGGUAAGCAAUUUAGCGCUUCAAUUAAACCUGCAGCUUACAGCACAAAACAUCCUCUACUGUGUGGGACCCACCUGCCACUACCCAUCCUUAUCUUACCUACCUCCUCCUUCAGCUAGCUCGGUCCUCUGUGUAGCCGCUAAUGCUGCUUGUACCACCAAUGGGUCACCAUCUACCCGCGCUUGGGUGACUCUAAGCUCGAAGGCAACCCUCGUGCCGGGAUUGUGGCUGUAGCUCGUCUCCCCAGUUGGAGCUCGCUAUGGGAGCGCACCAGGAGCUUGCCGCUCCACCUACCUCGAACAACGCCGAGCAUCGUCGCCUUGAGCACUGCCGUCGGCACCCGUGCUCACCACUCCCUGCCUCUCCUCAUAGCAAGCUGCCUUUGCUUACCUCCCCUUCCAUUUGAGCACUGAAGCAUAAUUUGGGCCUGCUCGAUGAGUAGAACAAAAUGGCGGGGCUAAAAUCCUAUCGCCGCUACAGCAAUUAGCGUCGCUAAAUCCCGCUAAAGCGCACAUAGCUGCGAUAGCGGAAGAAUAUGCCAUUGUGUAGCGGGGGUGGCCUCCAGAAGCUAUAGCUAUAGCCCUCUAUUUUCUACAUUGAUUCAAUGUGCCAACAGCUUGUUUGUAUGUCACCGUUUAAUCUUGAGCUAGCUUUAGAGCCUUUCCAUGCCACACGUCCACUAGGGUUUCUCACCACUCUGGUGAGGUGAGUACUACACCUCUCACAAGCACAAGGACUCCAAGUCAUCUAGAUGGUAGCAACCUCAAAGAGUGACAAGCUAAUGAUGCUUGCAUUUCUUGAAGUCUCAUUAAUACUACAAAACUCAAAACCCUUGAUGCAAUGCACCAGGAUGUUCUCACUCUCACAAGAAUAAUACAAUAUCUAAGCAAACUAUGGGUAAGGAGGAAGACCAAAGGCUCAAGUAUGUCAAGAAGCUUUUCAAGUGGCCAAGGGGCAUCCCACAUGCAUGGUGGGGAGGUCUGUAUAGAGCUCCCCUUGGAUUCUAGCCGUUAUAGUGACAAACUCGUGAACAUAGCGUUUUCUUGGUCUAACUACAGCUUAUUCUAAAUGUUGAAGCGCAUACUUUGUUUAACCGCCACCUCUAGUGGUUUAACCACCGUUCAUUGUUCAAGUCGAUGUUGUCGGUUUACCCACUACCGUGGCCGUGGUUUAACCGCCAUUGCCGCCAAUUAAACUGCAUCACAAAGUCGACACUCACUAGAACCUCUAAACGUCUUUGAGUUGAGGCAAGUUAAGUUGCGCCUAUGGUCGGUUUUAAUCGCCACAUGUAUUUUUGUCAUCAUAUUCAGUGUUUACUCAUCAUCUCUCUUGAACUAAUAAGUUAUACCUUGCUCCCUCCGUCUUGAAAUACAAGGCAUACUAGAGAUUUUAGGACAUUAGUAGGAGUAGCAAAAGAUGCAUGUACCCCUGAGUUAAUGGUAGUUGCAAAUAACAAGAAACUUAUUUUUAAGUAAUAAUCCACAAAUCAGUCGCCCUUAUCUUAUUAAUUAUAGAAAGAAUUAAAUGUCAAUCAUCCAAAUGUGCCUACAAUGCCUUGUAUUUGAGGACAAAUUUUGAACGCUUGGAUGCCUUAUAUUACAGGACGGAGGGAGUAUAUAUACAAUGCAAGUUUGAAGAAAGUAGGAACUAUAGAAUCAUAAAUGAAUGAACACCAAUCCCCUAUUAAUAUUACCGAUCAUUCCUCAUCCUCUAAUUAUCUCAUGACAUAUAAAACUAAAAGCUGUAUAUACCUUUGCCUUGAGCUCAUGUACGGUAUUAAAAGUCGUACAUCAAGUUUUCAUCCUUGUAGCUCAAAUUUAGUCUCCGGGACUAACCUAUCUGUCAGUGUUUUAUACCCGGCAACCUACCGAGGGGUAUCCCGACCCGAGGUAGUAGAUUGGUUGGUGGGGGAUCGCCGGACCUGGAACUCGAUGGUAAAAACGAGGACACAAAACAUAGAUUUAUACAAGUUCGGGCCGUCAGAGUAGCGUAAUACCCUACAUCCUGUUUGGGGUGUUGUAUAUUGCGCCCUGCGCUUGGGUGUUGUUUGGUGUUGAGGAUUUGAUCCUCUGUUUUGGUUCUAUGAGGUCUUCGCCUACCAAUCUAGGGACCUCUGCGUUCCUUUAUAUACUCCAUGGGGUGGGAUUACUAGUCAGUUAGAAGGAGGAGUCCCAGUAGGAUUACAGGAGAAUCCUAGGAGAGUCUGUCUUCUUCCUUCCUUGCGGGGACCAGGGAUCUAUCCCCGACACUAUUUCAAUUCUUAAAUAGAAUUGUUUGUCCACAUAAAGAAUUGUCAUUAAUACCAAGAAACCAAAUUAGGAGCCUAGGCACUUCAACUUAUUUUUCCGACCAUAUGCCACUCAACUCACUCUAGAAAUCUACUCCAAACUACUCAUAAAAUGGCUUUGCAGAUGCUUUAUAAUCUGCUUUGGUGGAUCACAAGAUCAACGCUGAUAAGCCAUCCAUGUUUUGCCGAGUAACAAAGAGUAACUCAGUUUGUCUAGCUGGCUGAUCACCUUUGUUGGAUGUGAAUUAACACUAAUCAAUUCUUAAUCUUUUACUAACUACCUUGGCCUUCGAUUAUCUCUACUUGGGUGGCAAGAGCUCUCAAAUAUAUGUAGGAGAUUCCCUCUAGCCCCAACAACCUUCAAAUGAUCGGAUGUCAGGGUAUAUAUCUUCUCUGUACCAUAUCAUUACGUUGCCCACCAGAACAUUGGUGAACCUCGACCCUUUCUAAGGGUCAUAAAUUCAACUAUUUGGGCCUAUAAUAAAGAACCUCACUGUACUAUAUCUAGGUUUCCAGCUGCAUCGUUGCCACUCUUAGAUGUGCUUUGGUUAGAUUGCUAAUGCACUGUACCAUCCUACCAUAUGAUAUGGUGACUUGAGCUAGUAAGGAACCUAACUUGCAAACUUUCUCUUUCUAGUCAAAUGAUGCUCCUAUGUAUAACACGGUUACCCUACAUAUGAUCUGGUGGCCCUAAAAAAUUGUCUAUGCCUUCAAUCUACUUGCAUUUUAUCAUAACCUGUUACGUUGUGUGCUUAUCCAUACAGUGUCAUAUGCUUGAAUUUUCUUUCAUUCUAGGACUAAUUCCUCCAUCCAUCACACAUGCAUGAACUGUCGGUCACUCUUGUAGAAUCAAUGUCCUUUUCCACUUACAUUUUCUGGAGAUCUCUAUGUUCAUAUACAUUCUUGAAGACCAUUUGCAUGUUAAAGUGUAUUAUCGAUUUCGUGGCAAUUUCACCUUACUGGACGUUUUCUGUUCAAGACAGUUGUUCUUGACUCUUUAUUUGCACAUAUACACGAAUAUACAUCUUCAACCACAGGCAGACUUGUUCUUGCAUCAUUUCAAAAUUGUGGCCAAUUUUCCUAGGACAUUGCAGGAUUACAUCAUGAAUCUUGAAAUGGGUCAUUUGUUCUGGGGUUCCUUUGUGCAAUUUUUCUCAUAUUAUUCACAUUUCACUAUCAAAUUUUGAGAAAAAAAAAAUAGAGGAACAUUUUCCUACUUUUUCAUGAAUCUGAAACCAUUGCACAUUUUUUUAAAAAAAACAUUGAACAAAUGUCAUUAUGCAUAUAUGCUCAUACUUACAUUACAUACUUACGCACAUGUUUAUGUGAAUUAUUACGCUUGUCUAGAAAAGUCAUUAAGAUCCUAUUGACGACCUUUCAGGAUUACCCUUCAAUGGUUGUACUACCCCAGCUGGUAUCUGCAGAUUACAUUGACAUGGUUGUACCAUCGCAAGAUUGAAUUACAAUUGAAAGAAAGCUGAGACUUGAAUUAAUGAUUUAACUCCACAAUACUGUUGUUAAUGUUUGUAUUAGGUUAUUUUCAUUUAAAUUUUGAACUUUGGGGGGUCGGCCUUUGUGGUAGUAUGAUUGGCUUUAACAAGUCUAAAAGAAUAUAAAUUUGCCACAGUUUUCUAAAUGAAACAGAGUUAUUUGUUUUGAGUGAUUAGGAAGUUCUUUUCCUGAGAACAUGAGUGGUUAAACACUUAAAGCUGCCUUUUGCCAGGCUGGAAAAGUAAUAUAUACAGCCAAAUGCAUUAUGAGUGCAAGUAAUAGGUACAGUAGUGAGCGGGACAGAAUGAGGCUAGCCAUAAGUCAUGCAUCUUUGAAGUACCUUCUAGAAUAUAUUUCAGAUGAAUGGCUUUCUUGCCACAAGAUGACAAGAAUGACUACAUUCUGGCGUGUGGCAUGUUUUCAAGCAUACCGUAACAGCUGCUUGUUUUUUUCUGGAAACAAAAUAAAUGAAUCAUUACUACAAUGUCCCUGUCCUUUCUGCUUUCAUACAAAAAAAAAAUCAAGAAAUAUGUUGCAACUUUAAUUAGAGAUACAAAUGAAGUACAAAAUAAAUUACUCAUCACUAUGAUAUGCCUGUCCUUUCCAUUUCCUAGAAAAACUUGAAUUAAUAUGCAUGAAAUAAAACUCUUCUAGUGCUACUUUAUACAUUUUAAUGAAAGUACUGAAUGCAGAAUGCAUGCAUUGUUUUAUGAACGAUAGGCGUUUUAAUAUUGUUGUGUAGAAGAAGCCCAGAUACUUGUGAUUUUUACCGCCUCACAUGGCAGUGAACUUACAACCAAUUUUCAGCAGAAUUGUCUGUUUGUUGUUCCUACUCUUAAGCAUGUAUUUCAUUAAGAGAAAAAUAGUUUACAAACGACCACAUCGCUGAAUCAAGAUGAACUUGAUUGGCUGAAUUACAUAAAGGCUACUAUCGCGGUAUAGCUCAUGACCCAGGACCUACUAUGUAAACAAAACAAAAGGUUACUACUCGCAGGGUUUGAAUGAAGUAUAAAUGUAUAAUAGCAGAUGAUUCUCAGUACUGUGCGUUAGUGCAUGAAAUUGGCAAAUACAAUGGGUGCUCAAAUGAUGUGCAUUACUGUAUAUAUGGAAUUAGAGAUUCGAGUGGAUGUCUUGUAGUGGUACCUCUUCGCUGAGCCUCCUUUGUCGAUAUUUUGCCGGAAGCACUACAGUACUGCUGCAGUUUGUCACUUCGUUGCCACUAUUUGCCUACCAUAUUCUGGCAUUAACAUUACAUUACAUGUUUUCUAUUCCUCAUUUCUGAAUAGGCAUAAGGUUGCUUAUAAUCCGGGACAAGAUAAGUACAAUGAUACCAAAUUUCCAUGUUAAGAGAAAAUGGCCAUCGUACUAUUGCAAGGAUCUAAGGAACUGCUACAAUCCCUGAACCUAGUUCCCAACGUUGAAGGUGUUGAUUGGUGGCGCCUGAUAAAGGAACAGAGAAACGUGAAUUGCUACGGAGCAGGUACCGCUGACUUGCUUUCUUCCCUAGUGCCCUAGUGGACCUGGUUCGUUGUAUUGUAAUGUCACUACAACAAACUCUAUUAGACUAUUCCAUCUUUUUUUUAAACGAAUAUUAGAUUAUCCAUCAAUCUCUUCCUUUCUUUCGCUGUCAGGUUACCGCAAACAGGAAGGUAAACGGCAACGGUGAACGCUGAAAACUGAAGAUUUUGAAGGCACAGCAUGUGGGUAAAACCUUUUCCCAUGGAUUCCUCGUAUGAAAAUUUCAGCAAAUGAUACUGAAACUGGCCGCCACCAUUUUCGCCGUAGUGAUCGCUUCUUGUUUUUCCAGCUCAUCUGGCAGACAGUGAAGGUGAAAGCUCUCGCUAUUCCUGAUGAAUUGACGAUAUCUUCUGUUUCAACCAAUGCAAGGCGUUCAGUGCCCAUGAAUCCAACCACCAAGAGUCCCAAGUCACACAAUCUUGCUGCCUCCUUAUCCUAGAUUCACUAUUCAGAGUGUCGCUUUCAGGAUGUUUUACCUACUGAACAGUGAAAUGUUGCUGUUCGAUCAGUUGCGACUACUCGCAGACCUCCAGCCUUUCUUGGAGGGACGUCAGGCUCCAGAUUCGUUGAGGCCUUGAGGUCAAAACAUGCGAGUGCUUAGCUGCCAAUGCAAGGUUCAAACGAGCUGGACAGGUCCCCGUCAAUCCGUCAUGUGUCCAGGUCCAAUAACUGGUUGCCCAAAGAAAUCGAUGCAGUACGCGAGUAUACGAGCUCCUCUAGCACCAGUGUGGUAAAUGUAUUGUGGUACUACCCGAAAUCUAGUUCGGUGCUUGGUGGUUGUCAUCUUGUAAAGUCUGCAAGAUUGCAACUUUUCUCAGGCUCUCUAAUGCAUAUCCCCUAGCCAGGCUUCUAAUGCAAGAUUGUACUAACUCCUGAGCACAUUCGUCAGUGCAAUUUGCAACCAUAUGAGAUCUGCAGGUCAGACUAAAUUUAAAUUUCUUUGUAAAAAACUACACCUAAAAAGUGACUGCAACUCUGUGUCUCUGUGUAAACUAACUGUAACAUGGGGAUAUAAACGAAAAUCAAGUGUUAGGAUGUAAUGAAGCAUCUGAAUUUUUUUUUUCUUACCUCAUAUAUACUCAGGAACCAUAGAGUACAGGUUUUUGGCACAGAUGUGAGUGUAAUUGUGAUGUUGAAUAUUGUAUGUAUGGCUAAAUUUAAAUUUCUUGUAAACAACUACACCUGAAAAGUGAUUGCAACUCUGUGUAAACUAAUUGUAACAAGGGGAUAUAAACGAAAAUCAAGUGUUAGGAUGUAAUGAAGCAUCUGUUUUUUUUUCUUACCAUACUCGUCAGCCAUAGAGUACAGAUUUUUGGCACAAACGUGAGUGGAAUUCUGAUGUUGAAUAUUGUAUGUAUGGCGAAUCUACUGUAAGAGGGUCGUAUGCAUGUAUUGUAUACGAAGCAUUUCUAAUCGUAUAGAUUUGACAGAUUUAGGAAACAAUUCAAUAACCUGAAAACCGAAAUCAAACAUUCUCUUUUCCUUAAAAACCCAAGAGUAUAAACAGGGGCUCAAAGUACGAAUCAUUUCGCACGGUUCGUAGCACGGCAUGAUACAUUUUGGACCGUAGGAUCUCCGCGCGAUACUGUGGCGCAUCAUCUAAUUGAGUUAUAUGGCAAUAGAGGCAGAUUUACACGAAACGGGGGCACGUCAUCUUACCAAGUUUAUCACAAUAGAGGCAACUCUCUCUAUCUCUUUCAGUUUUUAUACCUCCUAUUGUGUUCAUUUCUCCUCUACUCAUCCCUUCGUUUCUUCUUGUGCUGUCGCUGUUUGCUCCUACCAUUUUUCCAACAAGAAGAACGAGGCCACAUGCUCACAACCCACUAAAAUGUGGGUGGGUCCCAUUAGGCACCAACGGAAAGCCGCGCAGUGGAACGAAAUCGAACGAACCCACCCGGAAGGAACCGCUUCCUUUCCUUCCUUCUCCCUUCCCAUCCUCCCCGCCCCGAGGAACUCGCCGCCGCCUCCGCACCGCGUGAUCGCCCGCCUACCACAUGCCACCGCCCCGCCUCGACGUCCCCUUCCCCUGACCGCGCGCGCGCCCACGCCGAUCGCGCCGCGCCGCGCCGCGCCUGCCCGCCAUGGCUCCCGCGGCCUUCGUCGCGAUCCUCUGCCUCGCCGGGGCGGCGGCGGCGUCGGCCGCGGAGGCGGGGUGCGGCGCGAACACGAGCCUGGCGGGGUACCGUGCGGACCUGCGCAUGUCGCAGCACCAGCUCCGCGGCCGCGUGGAGGUGCUGGACGGCUGCUCGUUCCGCGUCGCGGCGCUCGACCUCCUCCCGGGCUCCGCGUCCGCGCGGUGGUGGCGCGCGGACGGGACCGACCUCGACGCCCUCGCGCGCGGCGAGCCCGCCGCCGCCGACCCGCUGGACCGCACCUUCCGGUCCGAGUCCCUCGUGUUCCACCUCCUCCCGGGCCUCUCCUGGCCGCUUGUCCCCGUCCUCGCCGCCUACGACCCCCUCACCUCCUCCCUCUUCGGCUUCGUCCGCCUCCCCGGCGCCAACGCCUCCUCCGAUCCCUCCUCCUCCUCCGCGGCGCCCACCAUGCUCGACUCCUGCGCGCACCUCUCCCCGCGCUUCCGCGUGCGGUGGACGCUCCACGAGGCCAACAACUCCGUCGACAUCGGCCUCGAGGCUGCCGUCGGGUCCGAGUACUACAUGGCGUUCGGGUGGGCGGAGCCCGGCGCGGCCGAGCCGCCGUCCGUGAUCGGCGCCGACCUCGUCGUCGCCGGCUUCACCGAGGACGGCCUCCCGUUCGCCGACGACUACUACGUCACCAAGUACAGCGAGUGCCUGCUCCGCGACGACGGCUCCGUCGAGGGCGUCUGCCCGGACACCAUCUACGGCCGCAACCACUCCUCCUCCGCCUCCGCCGGGCUCGUCAACGGCACCCGCCUGGUCUACGGCCACCGCCGCGACGGCGUCUCCUUCGUGCGCUUCUCGCGCCCGCUGGCGCCCAAGGACAGCAAGUACGACGUCGCCGUGAACGCCACCCGGAACAUGACCGUGGUCUGGGCGAUCGGGCUGCUCCGGCCGCCGGACUCGCUCCGGCCCUACUACCUGCCGCUGAUGAGCCGCGGCGGCGCGUUCUCCUUUGCCAAGCUCAACUUGUCGGACGCCAGCGGCGGGUGCGUCGGGCCGCUGGACGCCGAGGACAAGGAGGACCAGGCCAGGAUCACGGCGGAGCGCAAGACGCCGCUGGUGGUGACGGUGGGCCCCGCGCUGCACUACCCCAACCCGCCCAACUACGACAAGGUGCUCUACAUCAACAAGAAGGAGGCGCCCCUGCUCAAGGUGGAGCGCGGCGUGCCGGUCACCUUCUCCGUCGAGGCCGGGCACGACGUGCCCCUGUACAUCACGUCCGAUCCCGUGGGCGGCAACGCCACGGCCAGGAACACGCCGGAGGUCAUCUACGCCGGCGGGCCGGAGGCGGAGGGCGUGCGGGCGACGCCGACGGAGCUCGUCUGGCUGCCCGACCGCAACACGCCGGACCUGGUGUACUACCAGUCCUUGUACGAUCAGAAGAUGGGCUGGAAAAUUCAGGUCGUUGAUGGAGGCCUCAGCGACAUGUACAACAACAGCGUGCUCCUGGACGAUCAGCAGGUGACGUUCUUUUGGACUCUCUCUGGUGACUCCAUUAACAUUGCUGCCCGAGGCGAGAAGAAGAGCGGUUACCUUGCGAUCGGCUUCGGUAGCGCAAUGGUGAAUAGCUAUGCUUAUGUCGGGUGGGUCGAUGGCAAUGGCAAGGGGCAUGUCAAGUCUUACUGGAUCGACGGGAAGGAUGGGAUGAGUGUGCACGAAACACAUGAGAAUGUUACACACAAGAGGUGCCGAUCGGAAAAUGGUGCGAUCGUGUUUGAGUUCACCCGUCCAUUGACACCUUCGUGCAGUGGAAGGGUGGAGUGCAAGAACAUAAUCGACCCGACGACUCCUCUGAAGGUCAUUUGGGCAAUGGGUGCUCAGUGGUCAUCAGGCCCCUUGAGCUUGAAGAACAUGCAUUCGGACACAAGCAACCGUCCUAUCAGGAUUCUUCUGCUGAGCGGCUUGGCUGAAGCAGUGGAGGACCUGCGCCCGGUGCUUGCUGUUCAUGGGUUUAUGAUGUUUGUGGCAUGGGCUAUUUUUCUCCCAGGGGGGAUCAUGGCUGCGAGAUAUCUGAAACAUCUGAAAGGCGAUCUCUGGUUCCAGGCUCACACCUAUCUGCAGUAUUCAAGCAUUGCUGUUAUGCUCUUGGGCGUUCUGUUUGCAGUUGCUGAGCUCCGAGGUUUCUCUUUCAAAUCCAGACAUGCUAGAAUUGGUGCGGUAGCAUUUACAUUCGCAUGUGUGCAACCAAUAAACGCAUAUCUUCGACCGCAUAAGAUGGAGGAUAGAGAACCAUCAUCAGGAAAUAGGACAGUUUGGGAGUAUCUGCAUCAUUUUACCGGGAGGUCUGCUGCGCUUGCUGGUAUCGUGGCUCUCUUUACUGGCUUGCAGCAUCUUGGGCACAGGUAUGGCAGUAAGAACAUCAAGGGGCUUACAUGUGGGCUAAUCUUAUGGUUUUUAAGCGUUGCUUUGGUAACGGCUUAUUUUGAGUACAUGGCUAUUAAGCGAAGAAGAGAUGGUGCUGAUGGCCUUUCAGGAAAAUGGGUGCUUGGCAACACCGACGAAGACGAUACAGUUGAUCUUUUGCAAUCGGACAGGGUAGUCAGUAAACUGGAGUCUAAUUCAUCACCUGAGCCAAUGGAAGUACAGCUUGAGCCACUUAAAGGAUGAUACACUUUUUUCAGUAUACAUAUAAAAAAGAAUUUAGUUCAAAUUCUUUAUAGAUAUAACAAGCGGGUGAUAUACGUCUCAGGAUAAAAGAGGGUUCGGUUCAUAUUCUUUUUUGAUUUAAGGAAAUGGUGAGAUUCCCAUCUUUUACUUCUUGAGAGGUACAUACCAAUUACCACAUGGUGUAGAUUAGUUUUUUCUUGUCUUUUGGAGCUUAGGCCCUCCUGUCUUUAAUCUCCUAACUUCUUAGGGAUCAUGUAUGUAUAUCUGUACAAUUUUGGUAUAGUUAAAACUCAAAGAGGAUACAAUUCUUUUCGGAAAAAUUUCGUGAGAAUUCUGUGAAACAUUUCUGUAGAUGGAAUUUUUUUACAUUUUAUAGAUGAUAUUGUUACUUGUUAUGUGCUAUAUUAUUAUGAGUCAGUAUACAUUACAUUACUUGGAACUAGAAAUAACUGUUGUGGAAUACUGUCCAGUGAAAUCAUAGCACCCCUGCCUGUUGUGGAAACAGUGAUCCACAUUUUAUUUGUGCCUGCUGAUGUCUUUGUGCUAUUUCUCACCUUCUUAAUCAUAAGAUUCAUGGCAAUAUAUGCCAACCUGAUGCUUUGGUGCUUUUUUGAUAUCUAUUCAAAUUGCCCAAAUGUUAGGCUGAUGAUCAGCACCGUGAUGUACCUAUUUACUGAUUCUAUGAUAUGUCAUCGCAAAUUACCAGAAAUGCAUUUAUUUCCAAACUACGUACUCAUACCCACCCUCUUUUAUCGGCCAAACACGGAUUUCCCUUUCGCCAUCGUGACACGCAGGUCUGUUCGAAAGUAGUUGCCCACUUGUCUUGCAUUCCAUUCCAGUAACGUGCUGCAGUUUGUUGACCUGAAGAUCGUCCACUACAACCAUGAGUUGGCCUCAAUCUUCUUCAAGGAAAAUAGAGCAGGUACCUACUUACUAUUCUCCCUUUUGCUGUUAUGCUGUAUUAUAUUGUGUUGGGUGGUAUUGACGUUCAACCUGCAUGUUAGGUCCAUAUUGUUCCAGUUAGAGUUAGGUGUUGGCACGCAGUCAGAUCUGGAUCCCUCCUGUUUGUUGCUUGCCACCUUGUUAAGAAACCAGGGUUAGGUGAUGUCUGGUGAGGGGGCAAAAUCAACAGCAUGUUAUACAUGAGUCCCCUUUGUUCUUUAGGGUCUCUUCUCUUGUCUUUGCCAUGAAGCCUAGUGGCCAACACGUUGCAGUUACACAAGUUCAGGCAUUGCUGAGUUUUUUUUAUGGCCCAACAAUGAACAGGAAAGUUCUUCUGGUUUAGGUGGAUGAAGCUGCCGUGCUGGAGUUUGGGUCUCUGGAGUCUAAAACUGUUGGUAGCAUUAUUUGAGAAACAGAGCCCAGGAUUAGCAUUGUAAGGACUGGACCAGAUAAAGGGAGGCUAAGGCUAUCCUCUGAUGGGCUUCCAUGCUUGAACAAUACAUGUCAUAAACCUAAGGGAUCUGCAUGUCAGAGCCUUGAAUCAGUGGCAGCAACUCAGUUCAAGCCUGGAAUCAGUUGUAACCAUGGUUCAAGGGAGGGAAACUGUACAUGUGUGUUUUGGGAUCUAGUAAUGGUUCUAAGGGAAAUGACAAUUCCAGUCAUAAAAGGCCAUCAGCGUUGGGGUAAAGUGACUCUGAAAUCUUAUUUUCCUAUGAUAUACUGCAAUGUUUUACCCUUGACUGCUGUUACCUGUAUUUGUGAAUGGCAGAUGAUAAGACUCGUAACUCCUGCCAUCUACUGCAUCCUGGACAGUAUCAUUGUGGUACGAGAUUGAUUUCUGAACUGGAGACUGGAGUGGCAAAAAAUGGGUAGCCUGCCCCAGAUCUAAUAUGUUAUUGGACGGGGCCCAUUCUGAGCACUUUUGACCCGGCCAUGUUUUCUACCGAUCCUGGCUUUUGCUGACGAAAUGGACCUGCAUUUCAGUUUGUCUGAUGUCUGAAUCAUCAUCUCCUCCACUGCCAUGAUUGCUGAGUCCACUCCGGCCCUCUGCCUAAUUCGAUGGAGAUGGUCCCUGCAAUGGGAACGAGAUCCUCUAACUUUGAGGUCUUUAUCUUUGAGUCAUCGACACGUGGGCUCCACUGCGUUUGGACCCGCAUGUCAGUGACCUGCAAUGCAGUGGCAAUAUAAUGCAUGGUCUGUGGACCUGGCAACACGAAUGCCCGAUGCAUUGCGGCAUAUCUGGUGAGGACACCCUGCUUAUGCUUAUUUGUUCCAAUACUGUCCGUAGUUGAUAUGAUCUUUUGAUUUAAUUCAUAAAUUAGUGAUGAGGUUGUACCUGAAUGCAUACCCUGCAAUUCUGAUACUAUUACUCAUGAGCAUGCUAUGCAGAAUUGCAAAGUGAAGUACGACAGGAUUAUAAGAGUAAUUUGUAUUGCCGCGAACUGUCUGCCAGUGCGUGGACAGAAUAACGAUAACGACACAUCGAACAAACGACAACACAGGACGCGCGAGUUCAACAGACAGUUCAUGUGUAGGCCGCUUGUGAGCUAUGUUCCAGAAUCUGAGCUUGUCUUUCCACAAUCUCAGCUUGUUACUCAUGAGUUCUUACUUCCCUCUGUCCCAAAUUAUAGGUCGUUUUGACUUUUCUAAGUUAUAUGAACCUAGAAAAGUCAAAAUGAUCUAUAAUUUGGGAUGGAAGGAGUACUGCACAAGUGAAUCUUUCCUGUUUUUAAAAUGGACAAGCAGCCUAGAUCUUUGGCAUGAAGCAGACCUAUCCCCAAGGCUGCUUGUCCUCAUUCCUCACAAGACAUCCUGCAGCCCUGAAUGCAUAACUGCCUCCAUGGUUAGGUUCCUGAGCCCCCGUGAAAUUAAUCCCAUAUCAAUAAUCUCUGGUCCACCUGCUUAAAUGUGCCCUGCAGCAAGCAGCCGCAGGGAAUCCAAUUGUGAUGAAUGCGACCCAAAUCAUAAUAAGCCACCAAAGAAAUCCCUCUAUGCAACCAGACAGAAUUUCUGAUGAACAGCAAUGAUCAGGAGAAAACUGCUGAAUGAUUCACAGUUUUAGGAUCAGUAAAUAAAGGCCACCAUCCUUCGCUUCGCUAACCAUUCAAUGUACAAUAGAGUGGCAUUACCAACAGAAGUGAUUUUUACACAAGUCCUAACCUCAAUUCAAGGAUAACCUAGCACACUGUCUAACAUAGAGAUAACACAAGUUCAGUAGCUGCACUGUUAUUCCAAUUUCUUCAUGGUGCUAUGAAACGAUAAGCGCAUCAAUCGUCCUCGGCAUCUCUGCGUUAGUGCCAACCUCCUCACAACAUAUCUUUGUUGUCAUCUCGUCUUUCUUCAGAUCUGCCUUCAUGUUUGCCUUGUUGAUGUCUCUCGUGCAAAGAGUUGGAGUGGCAUUGCAUUCUUCGAACCGGAAGCAACUGACCAGGUGAUCAUUUGUUAGCCCUGCAGCCUGCAUGAAGGAAUAUAUGACAGUUGGGCCCACACCACGAAAUCCCCUUCGCAUCAUGUCUUUGCUGAUUAUAUCUGCCUUGGGACUCUUGACAGGAACUUGUCUUGGAUAGCGGAACUUGCUUACUAUAGGCUUGUGGUUCAGAAAACCCCAGCAGUAUCGAUCAAAGGACCCAAAUUCAUCAGCAAUCUGCAUCAGUUCGCACAAACUAGUAGUUUCAGGCAAAAGUCGUACCAACGGAGGCACCAAUUUGGUGGUAUGAUCAAGCAGGCAUUACAAACCUUUAGUAUCUGGCGAGCAUUCUCAAGGACAGCUCGGAGCUUUUGCUCUGACAAAAGAGAAAGGGCAACACUUCCAGGUGCCACAAGCUUCUUCUCAUUUAUUUUAGAGACGGCAGGAGGGUCGAAGUCCAUGAAAAUUUCCCUGAAAGAUUCAGCAUGGAUGUGACAGAAUAAACCAUGAAGAAUACGUUUAUAUCUUUUCAACAGUACAGAACCAAUACCUAAAAAGUUGCCUCCUCUUGAGAAUUUCGGGCCAUGUAAGCUCAGCCAAUGCACAAGAUAGUACAAGUAGCUCAAACAAUCUCCUGCAAAAUGGUCAUGAUCAAAUAUCCUCUGGCUGUUCAAUUCCUUCUAACAGAAGAUAAAUAGCAAAGAUGGAUAUAGCAAUUUGCACUUCGCAUACCUGUCAUCAUGUACAGGAACCCCCCAUUCCUCAUCAUGGAAAGUGACAUAGAAAGGAUCUGAUCAGUAGAAAACAUGACGAAUCAGCUUUGCUCGUAAAAAUAAUUCAUAACUUAAGAAACACUUCAUCGGUAAGGCCUAGAAAAGGCACAGGACAACCAUAGCAUGUGAUGUGUCAAAUAAAGCAAGCACUGUACCUUACACUUUGAUUGUUUGGUUUUCUUGAUGGUAUGGAUGGAGUUAUUAACAGUGCAACACUGCUUGUCUGUUAGUUUCUGGUUGAUAAAGUAACCGUUCCUUUUGCCAAAUUUAUGGUUUCAAGCAGUUACAGUGGGGGGUUGCUGUAGCAGGAUCAAAAUCAAAGGACACAUGGAACAGAAUAGCACAGAUUGAUUGAAUGGGCAGCUGUUAAGUUGUGAUUCAAAACUACUAUAGUCAAUUCCAGAUGUUGAUGUUAAAUUGUGAGGGACUAACCAAUCCGUUAUAUGAAGGAAAUAAGAAUAAAAGGGAAACUUUAAAAAAAAAGGGAAAUAUGUUCUUUGCACUUUUUAGUUAAUUUUAAAGGAGGAAUGCUAACUUUAUCCAAUGUAGGAAGAGCGAGUUUAGCAAGUUAUGACUAUGAUAGACGAGGUAUCAUCAUUUUUGUUAGCAACUCUGCAAUAUGAUAGCUGCUCUUGAGGAAAGGCUAGAAGGAAAUAUAUAGCAUAGUUUUAAUACAUCAUAUGAGCAAGUAUGAUAAAUAGUGCCUGGCUAAGGAUACUACAUUGUGUAAGUUAUUAUGAAUUGCAACACAUGAAUGAACUGAUUAGCGAAUAACUCAAAGCAGGCAUAAAUUACGCACCCUAUCCAUAUUCAGUAACCAAAAACAUAAAGGAACAAGAAUAGUAAUUCUUCACAAUUCUUAUAGCAAACUAAGAUUUUAACAAAAAGAACAGAAGAAGCUCACCGGUGGUUGGAGUCGCCCAUGCGCACCUCCUCUUCCCUUCCACAGCCUCUGGCGUUACCGGAGCAACAAAAUCCACACCGGCCGACUUGCUCUCUGCCACCUUACCCACAGCCUUCCCUUGCUUUGGCGCAGCCGUCGACCAAGACCGGCUCUUCUCCACCUUCCCAGUGAAAGCCCGGGUGCGGACCAACUCCGCGGAGGCGUCCGAGGAGCAAGACGAGCUGAGCGGCAAGCUCGGCUGCAGCAGCGGCGCGUCGUUCCUCCUCGGCGGCGGCCCCGGCGGCGUGCGCCGUGGCGAAGGCACAGGGGACGCACCCUUGGGCGCGCCACCUCCGCCCCCACCUACGGCAUUCCUCUUGGCGCCCUCCUCCUCCUUGGCCGCGGCGGCCGCAGGCUUCUCCGGCGUCCCCGCCGCCGCCGGCUCCGCCUUCCGCAGCGGCUUGGGCGACGGUUUCCGGGCGUUCGCCGGGCCCGACCUGGCCUUGUUGCCUCCCGGCACCAGCACCGGCCUCGCCUCCACCUCCGGCGCCGCGAUGUUCAGGGACCGGACCCUCGGCGCCCCGGCCAUGGAAGCCAUUUCCGCCCAGCUCCCGGAGCUUUUACCGCCCAAAAAUUCAAACUUUACCGGGUUCCCCACUCGAGCUCCUCAGGAAUCGAGCAGAAGAGGGAAAACAAAAGGCAAUUACUCAAAGAAAAUCACCCUCCUCGUAGAGCUAAAAACCCUCCACGAACGCAAGAUUCCCCUUUCCCGAGACAAGCACGGCACCAAGAACUCCUCGAAAUCCGGGCCCUUUUCCCUCCAUCAACCUUCAAAGAAUUCAAAGAACGAGAGCUCCGGGCCAAGAACCCUAACCCCAGCCAGGGCUAGUCACGUCAUUGCACAGACAAGCUCAAGAACCCCGGCAAAGCCAGAUGCCCAGCCGCGGCGGCGGCCGGCGCUCAGAGGAGAGCCUCCCGAAGCGGCCCGGCGGCGGCGGACAGUGAAAUCCGGGGCGGGAAAGGCGCGGCGGGGAAUCGGGAAGACCUAGGCGGCAGCGGCGGUGGGGAGGGGAGGGGGGAGAGGCGCAGGGACUGCAACUGCUGCAACAGCUCCGAGGACGCAGGAAGAGUGGAAUCCAAGGCGGGGGGGGGGGGGGGGGGGGGGGGGGGCCAGGGCAAGCGGUUGGUAGAGAGGGGGAGAGGGACACUGCACUACUAGGUACUAGCUCGCUAGCUGCUGGCGGGACUCUGCCGUUUAUUUGACAACUGUUUUUUAUUUCGGGAGGGGGUGGAUUGCGAAAGUUUUUAACUUUUAUGUGCUUGCGGGGAGAAGAGUUGGUCGUAUCUGUGCCCCUGGACCGCUGUUGGUGGGCCCGGCAGCUUCUUGCUGUCUGACGGUGUACUUUUCCGGAAUGGCCCACCUGUUUUACACUAAUCGAAAUCCUGUAUAACGGCCGGCUGGUCUGAUUUCUCUCGUGGUAUUUUCUUUUUUAGAAAAAGGGGGAAAUGGUUUUCUCACGUGUCCGCGCACCAUCGUCACUGUCCAUUAUAAAUUAUUUUUCUAUGUUUUGUAAUACAUUUUUGAAAAAAAAUUGAAAAGAAAAUAUAUUUGAAAUUUUUCCUAAAACUAUUACUAGUGGAGAACUGCCUCCUCACCUAAACUUUUAUUCAUCCAUAUGCCGCAAUCGUAAGGUAACAAAGGACAGGUAACACAAAUAUAACGAAAUAGAUCAAAUGAGCAUCCAUGCUGAAAUAUUAAGUUGCGCUGCAAUUGGUGAAUGAAAGUUCAAAUAUGCAAUCAAUCGAUGCUUGCCCUUAUGGAAUGUUGGGGGUGGAUGAUUGGUGUGGACAUGAAGGGCCAUGAGCCUUGCCGAGUCUUGCAAAUCAUACACAAUGGGGGUUGGGAACACAAGGGUUAGAGCAGAGAGCAGAAAAAACCAUCAAGGAUAUGACCAUGUCAUAGCACAAAUGACAAAGUCAAGUUUGUGACACCAUAGUUAGUUAGUCCACGUUAUGGAUUCAUCCGUUAUCACACAUAAGUAAGGGGCUGUUUGGAUACGAGGUGCUAAACUUUAACAGUGUCACAUCGGAUGUUUGGAUGCUAAUUAGGAGGACUAAACAUGAGCUAAUUAUAAAACUAAUUGCAGAACCUUGUGCUAAUUCGCGAGACGAAUCUAUUAAGCCUAAUUAAUCCAUCAUUAGCAAAUGGUUACUGUAGCACCACAUUGUCAAAUCAUGGACUAAUUAGGCUUAAUAGAUUCGUCUCGCGAAUUAUACUCCAUCCGUGCAAUUAGUUUUGUAAUUAGCUUAUGUUUAGUACUCCUAAUUAGCAUCCAAACAUCCGAUGUGAUAGGUGUUAAACUUUAACAGGUGUUUCCCAAACACCCCCUAAUAGUCACUAAUAAUUUCCAUGCAAUAUUCUCAUCCAACAGCAGCCAUAACCCAUUUUGAGAAAGAGAGAUAGUAGAGAUGAGGGAGGAGGAAACGGAAGCGCCAGCCGCCGCCACUAUCGUCACGCAUUUGAUGGCAACGAUAACACACGUAUGCAGUGGUGUUGGACCGUUGGUGUGGUCUUUUCCAAGUAUUAAGAGAAAAUAAGUAUAAUAAUCUAAGGAUCUCAUUCUUUUCCUCAAUUUACCUUUUUAAUUCUCAGUUUUUUCUUUACUUUAUGAAAUCGAGGAACUUCCUCAAUUUCUACGAUGUUGCUUAACACCAGAGGGGCCAAAGAGUAACUGCUGCUGCGCUGCUCGCCGGCGGUUAUUACCGGCGGGCCGGGCGGGCGAUGGUCCAUCCAGGUCUCACUCUCCAGGACAAACCAGACAAACCAGCGCAGCCCCGCGGGCCGCGGGUGAGGUGGACACGGUCGGGCCAGUUCGAGGGAGUACGGCCCGGCGCGGGAGUACGGCGACCACGGACCGACGCUGCAGUGUCUGGCUGGCUGUCUUCCUCCGCAGGGAGCCGUAGGGAAAGCCGGCAACCAACCGCUGGCCCGUUCCGUUCGUUUCCCGUGACCUGUGGACGGGGGCCGCUCGGAACCUCCGUUUCUGGAGCCUUCUUCCGUCGUCCCCCGCACUGUGUGGCACGGGCCGGAUAUUCAGCGUCUACGGACUCAGGGGUGUUUGACACGAGGUGUUAAACUUUAACAGUGUCACAUCGAAUGUUCGGAUACUAAUUAGGAGAACUAAAUAUGAGCUAAUUAUAAAACUAAUUGCAGAACCCUGUGCUAAUUCACGAGAUGAAUCUAUUAAGCCUAAUUAAUCUAUCAUUAGCAAAUGGUUACUGUAGCACCACAUUGUCAAAUCAUGGACUAAUUAGGCUUAAUAGAUUCGUCUCGCGAAUUACACUCCAUCUAUGCAAUUAGUUUUGUAAUAGCCUAUGUUUAAUACUCCUAAUUAGCAUCCAAACAUCCGAUGUGACGGGUGUUAAAUUUUAACACAUGUUGCCAAACAUGCCCUCAUUUUGUUGAUUUUUUUUUCAGAAUCUCCAGCCGCUAUAUGUUUCUUCAUAGAGUGAUAAAGAAGACACCCAACCCAUCGUGGUGGGGUAUAGUACGUACGUACCGUCGGUGUUUAAACCUGACAACCUACCAAAAGUGUGCUUGAGGUAGUGUUUUAUGCGUAGGGCUCGCCGAUAUCAGGAACUCGAAGGUGAACUUGAAUAUACGAUUUAAACAGGUUCGGACCGCUUAGAUUGCGUAAUACCCUACGCCUUGUGUGUUGGUUGCAUUGUAUUGAUUGAACAUGUUUGGAGAGGGUCCCUGUCUCGCCUUAUAUUGCCGGGGGCAAGGUUAUAGGUCGGUUGUUUAUAGAAAUACUAGUCAGAUUCGACUAGAGAGUUCUACUCUAUUUGCUACGAGUAGUUUUCUAAUCCUCGACUAGUUCUUAUCCUCCACGUAGACCACGCCAUCUUGCAUCAUAGUCUCCAUAUCUAACAUGUCUCGGUGGACAGCCCCAUAUCUAGGACUGUCCAAAUCUUCUGGUGGGCUCAUAGAUGUAUGGACGACAAGUCCCCAAGUACUUUUUAGUCAAAUGUAGUAGCCUCCGGAUACUUUUUAGUUAAAUGUAGCAAUCCCAAAUACUUUUUAGUCAUCUCCGACUAGUUUGUGGUGCUCUUCGAGUACUCCACCGGAUUGAGCCUUCGAAUGUACUCGAGUACUGCCACGUGGUUAGAAUGUGCUCAAGCCUCAUUUAACUUAGUCUUGAAUCUUGAAUUUUAAAUUUUAUAUGGAAGUGUGAUAAAAAUCGCACUCCAUAUGGAGUAGCCCCCGAGCCUUAGGUUGAAUCGAAAAAUCAGGCUGAGGGUCAAUCUUGUAAUUUCACAUCUCUUUUUCUUAAAACCCAAAGAAAAAACUUUUUAGCCGAUGGGCACGUGGCACACAGCCCCCGAGCCAUUGCACGACUAGUUUAGGUAUAAGAGUCAACCACUGGUCAACGUGACCGUUCGCCAACAGUAACCUUAUCUCUUUCCGAAAAAAUUGGAAACUAUCAAGCGAUAACUUCGGGCGUAAAUAAAUAUUCCCGUUAAUCUCGCCUCUGUUUUAAAUGUGCCACGAUUAUAAAUAACAGAGGAAAUCAUCGCUUCCGUUUCACCCAAGCUAUCUGCUCUUUCAACUUCCACACUGUAGCUCUAGCGCCGCCACUGCCCGAUCCUUGAGCUCGAGCGCCACCAUCCCCCACUGCAGCACAUGCGCAAGAAGACCCUUGGGGCAACAUGAAUGGAGAAGAAGGCAACAUCCAUUAAGGCAGUGGAGAGCAAGAAAAGGAAGGUUGAGAAGAAAAGGGAGAUCCAGUUGCCAGCGCCGAAGUGCGGCAAGGCUGAUCAAACAGUUCCGCCAACUCAAGCGUGCGCCUGGAAGAAAUCCGUGUUGAAAGAGGCGGACAUCCAGGCAUUGGUGGAUGCCAAUCUUCUCCAAGACCAAGAGUUCAUCAACUAGAGAGAAGCCUGCGGCAACCCCUAGCCAAUGGAGAACUACACCCAUGAGACGGUAAUCUUCAUGCAUUUCAUUGAGCGUGGUUUGGCUUUGCCCACAUCAGACUUCUUCCGCGGGCUUCUGAAUUAUUACAAGUUGGAGUUAGUCCACCUCAACCCCAACUUGAUUCUGCACAUAGCGAUUUUCGUGCAUCUUUGCGAAGCAUUUCUCGGAAUCCAGCUGCAUUUCCAACUCUUUCGCAAGUUCUUCAGAGUCAAGCCCCAGCCCAGGAUGGACCAUACCGAAGUAGUUGGGGGAGGGGGCAGGCAUUCAAUUGCGGGAGAAGGUCAAAGGCUUGUACUUGGAUUACGAGCUAAUUGACUCCCAUUCUGGCUGGAAGAAGAGGUAGUGUUACAUCGGGAAUCAUGAGCCCGACUACCCAAGGUGACAGGCCACCACCCAGUUUGGAACAACUGGUGGUUGGACGAGCCUAACCAUGGAGAUAGUCUUCAGCUACCCGAGCUUCUAGAGAAGAUUGCCAUACUCAAGAAGGAAGGGCUGAUCAGAGUUGGGGUAGCCUUCAGUUUUAUGAGGAGGCAGAUCUAACCACUGCAACUGCGGUGCACCUAGGGAUACGACUACUCGGGCCCCGAUGAUCCAUCCCGGAUGAAAUCAGAUGACUUGUCCAUGGAUGAAGUUAUAGCGCGAUUGAGGCACCUGUUCAAGCACGCGAGAGUGAUCCCGACUAUUGUUCGGGAGUUCUGCACCGCGAACACGCCAUGUAGUGUAAGUACCCAUGGCCUUAGCCUCAGAGUACUAAUUUUUGUACUUGUUGAUUUUCUAACUUGUCUUCUCAUGUAGGAGGAUAUUCACUUAUUUUGCUCCACCCCUCCUCCACCUGGAUCGGAUGGUUUUGACGCCACUCCGUGAGUACACACGACUGCCGAUGUACAGAAGGUAGUCAAGAAGGAGGAGGAGGAGGGUUUCUCUUCGUUCAGUAGCUCUAACUCAGAGGCUGCUGAAGAACUUGUUAUCAAGUCCUGACCAUCGGACAAGGUGGGGUCUUCAUCCGGGACAGCCAAGCGUGAAGCUGAAGAUGACCUGGAGGUCGGACUAGCGCCGCCGCCGAAGAAGAGGCGCAAUGUCGCUGCCAAGCAUGCAGCGAACAAGCCGUUCACCAUCGAGGACGUCCUCCUCCGGUAAUCACAUUUGAAGAAGGACAAGAUCCUGAGGACCAAGUACUCGUAAGUCAAUUCCUUACCGCCAUUGCUACUUAGUAUGACAUUGGUGGAUUGCAGGUAGUCCGGGAGGAAACAGAAGCGGAGAAAAUGAUUGCGGAAGUCGUGCAGCAGGAGCUACCAACGAUCAAGGAGGUCAUCAAACUUGAUGAUGACGAAGAGCCUCCCGUCGCUAGGGCCAACCCCUUCGGCGCGCAAACUACUCAAGUGGUGGAGAUGGCAACUAAGGUUGGUGAGGAUCCAGCUGCGAUCCAACAAGCCGCGCCGAAGAAAUUGUCUCCCAUUGUCAAGCCCAUGCACCUAGCGGGAGAGCCCUCUUUGAAAAUAAAGAGGUCCACCAAGUAAGUACUAGAAUGUUAUCCGAGUACUGAUUGUAUCUCGAUUGUGCCUUGCAGUGUGUUUUGAGACUUGCCAUUUUCAGGAAAUCCGUCAGCGUGGAUAUUGGAGGCCCGAGCCCGAGGUCUGCAACCGAUGGCAGCAGCCGCUCGGCCCAAGACCUCAUCCCAGCGCCCACAAUUCCGCCGCUGGAGGAGCAGCCUGCGCCAGAAGUAGCUCCAGAUGUUGUUUCCCUUAUUGCUGCGCUUAUGCAUGAUGUUAUUACGUCACUGAAUGUCACUGUAGUGCCAACCCCUGAGUUGCCGGUAGGCGAGCCCAUCGUAGCGACUACUUCCGAAGUUGUGGCUACAUUUGUAGCCCUAAAGCUGGAGGAGGGCACUAAUGCUGAGGUGGCGACUACUUCUAGAUUCGUGCCUACGCUUGUAGCCCCCGAGCUAGAAGUGGAGACUGAAGCCGUUGGAGCUAUCCAAGUUUUGGCAUGCAUUCCGCCUUCUGAGGCGGGUUCGUCAACCAGCCACGCGUUGGUUUCUCUUGGUGCGCCAAUUGCCGAAGAGCACGAGGAACCUUGGAUAGCUGAGGGGGUGAACCUGGAGGAUAUCCAGUUCCUUGCUGACCCUCUCACCACCAUAGAGAUGGUGACCACAAUCAAGGAGAUGCACCGCCGUGUAGGCGAAUACACAGUGGUAAGUUUCUCUUCUACGUUUGUCUUCAACUUGAAAUCGGUACUCGUUCCUUAUACGAGUACUUGCUCUAUUUUGCAAACAUUGAUCGAACGCUCCUAUCGGAAGUUGGAGAUGAUCCAGGGCUAUAAACACUAGCUCAAGCACUUGAGCGCGAGUUUGCCAAGGAGCGACAGUACUCCUCCCGGCUACUCAUGAAGUAUAAUGGCCAAGCCGUCAAGUACCGCAACCUCAUCCAGAAAGUUGUGGAGGAGAAGGACCGCCUUCGGAAGUGCAAGAAGAUGUUGAAGCAUCAGUUGGGAGGUAACUUGUUUGCUCUUGUUGGCCUUCGAGUACCAAUUGCAAUUGGUGAUUCUGAACUACUCCUUGUGUUGUUCUAGCAGAGGUUCAGAAGGUCAAAGAAGAUCUCUAAGGCCAUGUCAUUGACUGGCAGAACCUGUACUACAGAGUGACGGAGCAACACGACAAGUUAUUCGCUCUGCAUGAGAAUCUGGAGCACCACCUAGAAGGAGCGAAAGAUGCGCUCCGACGGGGAAGUCAAUCUUGUAAACGCCAUGAGGAGCAUCUGAGAGCACGAGGCUGAUUUGGCUGCCACAAAACUUACUUUGAAGGAGCUAACAAAAGCCGCUCAUCCCAUUGCUGACAUGGUGGAGGCCCCUACGGAAGGCGUGGAGCCCCGUCCUUUGGUGGAAGUACUCAAGGAGGUGCCUACGAAGAUCACUGGCUACAUCCAGAAGAUGGCAAGUCUGUCUCGAGGCAGCUGUUAGCCAUGGUGAAGUCCUUCUACCCGCAAACUGACUUGGCUCCAGUUGUGGAGGGGAUUGUACAAGACUGCUCUGAUGAGGUGGCUCCUAUUGCUAAGGAGGUAGCCAGUCAGAUAGACCUUGAGCAGUUGUAUAUAAAGACAAUAUGUUAUUGUAAUAUAAACAUGAAAUGAAUCAAAAUGUAAAUUAUUUGAAGUUUUGUUGUAAAUUUUAUUACUUGUCGACUUGUUUGAAUUCUUUGUUUUAAUGCAUCUCCCAAACUACCCUGAUCGUUGCUCGUAUGGUAGUCAUGAGUGUCUACGCACAAGACUAUUCUUGUGAGCCUCUUGAGAUACACAGUGUAGAGCACAUUUAGGAUGCAACCUCUUUCUACGGAGUGCAAAUACUCGGGUAUCUGGGUAGUCAGAAUCUUUAGACGAGUAGACUAUUCAGGACUUCGUCGAUUAGAGCCUACCUUUGCAACCUCUCUGGGUUGUUCGAGUGUUGUGCUUCGAAGACUUGGCACUACAGACUUGUUAUUAUAAGCAGCGACUAGACAGACUUGUCUAGAUAAUAACUCGUGUAGUAUAGAUAACUCCCAAGUUACUGACGGCUGCUUUUUUUUUUGAGGCCACUGAUGGACAGACUUGUCCAGGGAGCUGACUAGCUCAUAAACUUGUUUGCGUAGACUUGUCUUUGCAAGUCGCUGCUGGACAGUUUCGUCCAACGAGUUGAAUAACUUGAAAAAUGUGUGCAGGCUUGUUAUUACAAGCCGCAUGUGGAUAAUUUUGUCCAAGGAGUUGAAUAACUCGAAAAAAUCAUUUUGCAGUCUUGUGACUACAAGUCACGGGUUGGGCGAUAGUACCCGGGGAGUUGAACAGCUCUGCGAACCUGAUUUUGGAAGCCGUAAUCCGGCAGAGAUGAGUCAUUUUACGACAAAAAAUAACUCUACUUUAAUAAACUGUAAUUGUACAACUAAUGCCGAUGGCCAAUUUACAUGAAUUUGUAAACUAUGGGUAGAAUCCACACAGGUGCUCGAUGUUUCACGAGUUGUCAACUUCUUCACCAGACAGAGUUUGUAGCCUAUACGACCCAGGUCCUGUGACCUUGGAGACGAUGAAAGGACCCUCUCAUGGCGAAUUCAGCCUGUGCAGCCCCUUGGUGUCUUGAAUACGCUUGAGGACCAUGUCGUCUGUGUUGAAUGAACAUUCUUUGACGUUUCAAUCAUGAUAGUAGCGAAUUCCUUCAAGGUAUCUUGCUUACUGGAUGAGUGUUGCACAACAAGCUUCUUCGAGGUUGUCUAAGUCUAGACGCCUUGUUUCUUCUAUCGCGCCCUCCUCGUACUGCUCGACUACUGGAGAUUUCCACAUGACGUCAGCAGGGAGAACGACUUCUAAUCCAUAGACCAGGAAGUAGGAUGAGUACCCUGUAGGCUUGCACGGCUGGGUGCGAAGCCCCCAGAGGAUAUUGGGUAGUUCCUUGAGCCACUUUUCCCCUUUGGUGUUUUCAAUGUCGUGUAGUCUUUUCUUGAGAGCCUCCAAUACCAUCCCGUUGGCGCGCUCAACCUGGCCAUUGGCCCGUGGAUGAGCGGUAGAGACAUACCGCACAUCAAUCCUGCUAUUCUCACAGUACUCCCAGAACUCAUGAUUAUUGAAAUUUGAGCUCAGGUCUGUGAUGAUGUGAUUGGGGAAGCCGUAGCGAUGGACAAUUUUGUCAAGGAAGUCAAGUACUCUGUCAGCCUUGGGGCAGGUUACUGGCUUCACCUCGAUCCUCAGGCGCCGUAGGCAGAGGGCCAAUCAUGUCUAGCCCCCAGCAUGCGAAAGGUAGGAGGGUGGUAUGGUAACCAACUUGUAGGGAGGGACAUGUUGUUGCUUGGUGAUGAAUUAACACCCUUGGCAUCGAUGAACUAGUUCUUUGGCGUCAGCGAGAGCUGUAGGCCAAUGGAAUUCUGCUCUAAAAGCCUUGCUCAUGAUCGUUCUUGAUGAUGCGUGGUUGCUGCAGAUACCUUCGUAAAUUUCCUCCAAUAUGUCCUUGCCAUCUUGCCGUGAGACGCACUUCAUGAGUACUCUUGAUGAUGCGCCCCAUCUAUAGAGCUUGUCCCUGACUAGAACAUAGUUCUUGCCACGUCGUGAGACUUGCUCUGCUUCUAUCUUGUCUGCAGGUAACUUGUGCUCCUUAAUGUAGUCGAUGAAGGGGGUUCGCCAGUCUACAUCGAUCAUCAUAACCUCCUGGUCUGGUGCAUCAUGGCCCCGAUUGGUGGUUUUUGAAGGCGUCGGCUCCGCUAUGGAUGACUUGUGUAGUUCAUGGACGAAGACCCUAGCUAGAACUUAAGCACAAGUAGAUCCAAGCUUUGAUAGGAUAUCUGCAGCUACAUUGUUGACGCGGACGAUGUGAUGGAACUCCAGACCAGAGAACUUGUUCUCUAGCUUGUGUACUUCGAGGAAGUACGCAUCUAUGUUAUCCUUGUGGCGAUCCCACUCAUCGUUGACUUGAUUAAUGACUAUCAGUGAGUUGCAGUAGAGCAACAAUCGCUUCAUUCCCAGCGAGAAUGCUAGACGGAGCUCGUGCAGAAGCGCUUCAUAUUUAGCUUCAUUGUUGGAUACCUCCCAGAUGAUUUGCAAGACAUAUUUGAGUUGUUCGCCUUUGGAAGAGAUUAAGAGUACUCCUGCGCUGGCACCCUGGAGCUUGAGUGAUCCAUCAAAGUACAUGACCCAAUGCUCGGGGUGUUCUGCUGGUGUUGGUACUUGAUUUUCCCGCCAAUCUGCCAUGAAAUCGAGUAGUGCUUGUGACUUGAUGGCAGCCCUUGACUUGAAUUCUGGGGACAGUGCUUCGAGUUCUACUGCCCACUUGGAGAUUUUUUGUGUCACAUCUUGAUUGUGGAGGAUUUCUCCCAAGGGGAUGUCUGUGAUGACGGAGAUGUUGUGUUCCUGGAAGUAGUAUUGUAGCUUCCGCGAGAUGAGUAGUAUUGCGUAUAACAGCUUUUGAACUGGUGGGUACCUGACUUUUGAAUUCGACAACAUCUCACUGAUGAAGUAGACGGUCCUUUGUACUUUGUAUACAUGGUCUGAUUCUGGUCGUUCGACCACGAUCGCCGUGCUGACAAUAUUAGUAGUCGCGGUGAUGUAGAGCAGCAAGUCUUCAUUGGGAGUAGGCGCUGUGAGAACUGGUGACUUUGAUAGGAAGUCCUUCAACUAUUGAAGGGCUUCAUCUGCCUCCCCAGUCCACUAGAAUUUAUCUUGCCACUUGAGUAGUUUGAAGAAGGGUGGUCCUGCUCUCCAAGCCUUAAGAUGAAUCUGUUCAGGGCCGCCAUGCAUCCAGUUAGCUUCUGAAUGUCCUUGAUGCAUGAUGGGGUGUGCAAAUUGGUGAUGGUGGUUAUCUUCUUAGGGUUAGCCUCAAUUCCUCAGUGACUAAUGAUGAACUUGAGUAGUUUUUCGGAGGGUACACUGAACACGCACUUAGUUGGGUUUAGAUUCCACCGGAACUCUUGCAAGCUUGCGAAAGUUUCUUUCAGAUCCGCAAUCAAGUUGUCGGGAUUUUUGGUCUUUACAACUAUGUCAUCCAUGUACACCUGUAUGCUGCGGUGUAGUUGUUUGUUGAAGCACUCCUGGAUUGCCUGUUGAUAGGUGGCACCUGCGUUCUUCAACCCGAAGGACAUUGUGGUGUAUCAGAAAGCUCCGUAAGGGGUAAUGAACAUGGUCUUGAUUUGGUCUUCUUCCAUGAGAGCUAUGUGGUGAUACCUCGAGUAGCAAUCAAGGAAACAAAGUAGAGCGCAUCCAGCCAUCGAGUCGAUGACUUGAUCAAUCUUAGGGAGCCCAAAGGGAUCCUUUGGACAGUGCUUGUUGAGGUCUGUGUAGUUGACACACAUCCUCCACUCGUUGUUGUUUUUCUUCUGCAUCAAGACGGGAUUGGCCAGCCACUCUAGAUGAUAGACUUAUUUUAUGAAGCCAACCACGAGUAGUUUGGCCAACUCUUUUUUGGUUGCCUCUCUUCUGUCUUGAGCGAAUCGGCGUAGUCAUUGCCAUUUUGGCAUAGCUUUGGGAUUCACAUUUAGUGAGUGUUUGAUCAACUCCCUAGGAAUCCCUGGCAUAUUUGAUGGCUGUCGGCCAUACAUCUAUGGGUCCACUGGAAGGUUUCGACAGUCCUACAAUACGGGGCUGUACAUCGAGAUGUAUCAGAUAUGGAGACUAGUCAAGGAUUAGAAAACUACUCGUAGCAAUUAGAGCAGAACUCUCUAGUCGAGUCCGACUAGUACUCUUGUAAAGAACCGACUUGUAACCCUGCCCUCGGCAAUAUAAGGUGAGGCAGGGACCCCCUUUAAACAAGAUCAAUCACUACAAUCCAACCAACACACAGGAUGUAGGGUAUUACGCGGCAUAAGCGACCCGAACCUGUCUAAAUCGUGUGUUCGAGUUCACCUUCAAGUUCCUAAUCUUGACGAGCCCCACUGAAUAGUAUCUUAGCCCCCUUAAGUGACUUUUGGUGAUUUAAUGACGCAAGCUUAAGAAUCUAACAAAGUUUCAAGUGCAUAAGCAGCUUUAAAAGGAUUAUUGGUCAUGAAGCACUUGUGAUAAACCCCUCAAAAGAAAAUGAAUAAAUAAACGGCAUACCUUGAAGACUAAAUUUAUUUUCGGUUGGAAUUUGAGUAUAGGAAUGACGCACUAUUAAGUGGGAUGCGAAAUCUCUAAUCUUUACGUUGAAAAAGAUGCUCAAGAUGACCUAACAAACCUAUGAGAGAUACCUUUGCACCUGCACAUCACCUAGGGUUACUUAGAAUGGUGCUAACUUCGUUCCAGAAUUUUUCGAAAAAUCUUUCGGAAUAUUCCGGAAGUUACAGAGUUUCCGGAGAAGUUCCGAAGGUCCGAAUUUUUCCGAAAAGUUUGCCGAAAGAAUUCGAAGGUUCCGGAAGUUUCCAGAGAAAGUUCCAAAAGAUUCCAAAAUUUAGCGCCCAAUGGGUAGUUUUGGGGUGAAGGGGUAUAAAUACCCCCUCGCCCCCUCCCAGAGAAGUUCUCUUGUCUUCUCACUGUGCUAAACUUCAGAAAAGCUUCUAACUCCUCUCUUUGCUCCCCUUUGGCAUUCUUUGUGAGAUUUGGUGGGGAUUUAAGGAGGGAUUUAAGAGAGAUCAAGGGAGAGUGCUAGUAAGCUAAAUCUCCAUCUCUUGAGCACCUUGUUCUUCGUCAAGCCGGUGGUUCCGUGUUUGCUACUCUUGGAGUUUCAAGCUCCUAGUCGGCUAGGCGUUGCUCGUUGAGCAUCCAAGGAUUGUAGCUUCCUCAAGAAGUUUGUAUUACCCCGACAAUUGAGUAAGUGACUCUAGCUUGAUCUUUGCGGUCACUAGAGGGAGGAAAGUGGCUUAGGAGUGAAAAGCCUACCCUUCGUGGGUCCUGAACGGAGACGUAGGCUUCAAGGUGUGAAGCUGAACUCCGGGAAACAAAUCCUUGUGUCUAUUGUGCUUAUUGUUCUUAAAUUCGUUCAUAUUCAAGCAUAGAACAUAUUUCUAGGGUUUGAGCUCGAUCUACUUUUCUAGCAAUUUUUCAACUGUGCUAUCUUGUGUUAAAAGUUUAGAAUAACCAGGUGAAUAACUUAUAUUUAUUGAUUUACUUUUCAGCGAGUUUUUCUUAAGAUUGUAGUUCAAAUCUUUCAAUCUUCGGAACAAUCUCCGGAAAUUUCCAGAAGUCGAUGAUAAACUUGUUCAAAGUUGUAAAAAAUUUCCAGGUUCGACAUUCACCUCCCCCUCUAGUUGACAUCCUAGAUCUUUUCAAUUAGUAUCAGAGCCUUGGUCUCUGGAUUAAAGCUUAACCACUUGGAGUAUCGAGAUGUCGACGCCGGAAAAUUAAGAGGUUCCUCUAGGAGGUGAUGUCUCUAACCCAAACGUCAAUCAACAACACGUGGUGCUACAAGGAGCACAAAUAAUUGCUCAAGGAGGACGUGUCGGUGGAGCAAGCACAAGUGCAAGGUGGCAUCAGGAAAGUGAUGACUCCUCUGACGACGACUUUGAGUAUGACGAUGCAAGAUCAACUCACUCUGGACAUCAUGGUCAACGAAGGGAGUAUCACCAAAUCUCAUUCAAUUAUAAUUUCUUAAGUUUUAACACCUCAUCUGAGUCUAUCAACUUGGGAGAGCCACCUCAUUUCGAUGGGAUAAGCUAUUCCAAGUGGAAAAACUCGAUGAGGAACUAUUUGAUAGCGAUCAACCCUGCACUUUGGGAUGUUGUUGAAGUAGGUAUAACAUUUCCAUCUGAAGAUGCCACUCUCACACAAGACCAAGCACUUGACAUUCAACGCAACUAUCAAGCUUUGCAUCUUAUCAAGAGUUCAUUUGUACCGAAGAGUUUGAUAAGGUUGAUGGGUUGCAAUCUGCCAAGGAAGUGUGGGACACUCUCUUUAUCAACCAUCAAGGCACAAGAAGGGUUAGAGAAGGAAGAAUAAGAGCCUUGGAAAGUAAAAUCAACCGCUUCAUCAUUAUGGAAAAUGAAAUACCUCAAGAGAUGUACAAUAGGUUGAACAAGAUCAUUAACAAGAUAAGAUCUCUUGAAAGUGAUAAAUGGGGAAGAAGAGAAGUAGUGGACAAGAUUCUCUCGGCCUACAUGGCUAGAGAUGUUCAACUUUCUAUCUUGAUUAGGGAGAAGAGAGGAUUCAAGAAAUUCACUCCGGCGGAUGUGAUCGGAAGAAUUGAAGAACAUCCCAUCAUCGUCGAAGAAUCCAAGCUAUCCCAAGAAAUGUCCAAGAUUCAUGAGCAAAUUGAAAAGAACAAUGGGGUAGCUCUCAAGGCAAGCCACAAGAACAAAGAGAAAGAAGUAAGCACAUCAUCCAAGGCAACUACCAAGAAGGAGAGUGAUGAUAGUGAUAGCGAGAGCAUGGAUGAGGAAGAAAUGGCCUUGUUCAUGAAAAGAAUAAGGAAAGUGAUGAAGAGGGGUGGUUUUUUUUUGACAAGAACAAGGACAAAGACAAGAAUAAGAGGAAGUCAAAGAGGCCAUGCUUUGCAUGUGGCAAGGAGGGUAACUUCAUUGCUAAUUGCCCAAAAGUCAAGAUCAAGAGGAAUGGCUCAUUCGAGUUUGACAAGAGCAAGCAUAGGAAGAAGGUUGGUGAAGCUCACUUGGGUCAAGAGUGGGAUUCAAAUGAAGAAAGAUCAGACUCCAAUGAGGAAGUGGGUGUAGCAUCAAUGUCUCUUGAAGCAUCAAUUUCUAAGUCAUAUUUAUUUGAAGAUCUCACCGAUGAUGAAGAUGACUUCACCCACAAUUGCUUCAUGGCUAGAGGGCCUAAGGUAGAUUCUAAAACUCCCCUCUCAUGAUGAUGAUGAUUAUGUUGAUAGUGAUGAUGAUAAAGUACUAAAAGGUUUAGGCAAACAUGCUUCUAAAAGAAUAAUGAAAUUAAUGAUGGAAAUAGAAGAUAGGGAUGAGACUCUUGAAGUGCAAGAAGAGUUAUUUAGGCUUAAGCGAGAGAAAAACAUUGCCCUUGAGAAAUCCCUUGAAAAUGAAAAUAAGGGUUUCAAGGUGCAACAGGACUUGCUCAAGACUAAGAUUGACACAAUUUUUAGCCUUGAGAAAUCUAUUGCUAAAGAGAAGAUGAAAGUGGAAGAAUUAACUAAGGAGCUUUCAUUAGCUAAGGACACUAGUGCUAGUCUUAAGAAUGAAAAGGUUGUGCUUCAAGAUAACCUCACAAGUUUGGAAGCCAAUCACAUGGCACUUGAAACUCAACUUGACAUUCUUAAGAAAAGCACUUCAUCAAACUCUAAUGAUACAUCCAUAUCUUCUAGUGCCUCCACAAACUCACUUCUCAAUGAAGAAAAGAACAUCUCCAAAAGGGGUGAGUUUGAAAGUCACAAUAAGAGUUUUGGGUCAAGCUACAUGAAGAAGCUUAGCUUUAAGGAAGCUAGGUAAGUUUGAGCAAGGCUCACUUGACCCCACUCCAUUCGUGAAGAACAACUACACCAUGGGCGUGGGGUCAAAGAAGGUGGUGCAUGGUAUGAGGCCACUAGGUGCGAGAGUUGAUGGUAAGCAACUUAAGUACAACAAGCCCAUCAAGUUCCACAACUCUCAAGAAACACAAGCAAAGCCCCAUGUCUCUCAAAGCAAGCACAAGACCUCUCAACCUAAGCAAGUCAAGAAGCCCAAGCCACAUGCUUCACAACAUGGUUUUUAUGCUGAUUAUGCGUUGACUUGGGAUCACAAUGGUAAAGUGAUCGCCAAGUAUGUGGGUAACCGCACCAAAAACACUUUGAUCAAAAGGAGUGUGUGGGUGCCCAAGGUUCUUGUGACUAAUACUCUAGGACCCAAAUUUCUUUGGGUACCUAAAACACAAGCCUAAUUUGUUUUGUAGGUUUACUCCACCGGUGGAACCAAAUGGGUGAUUGAUAGUGGAUGUACAAAUCAUAUGACCGGCGAGAAAAAAGAUGUUCUCCACAUGUGAGAUGAAGAAAAAUCCAAAGAAGAAGAUAGUAUUUGUUGACAAUAGUGAAGGAAACGUUAUUUGUUUAGGUAAUGUUGCCAUUUCAACCGAGCAUUCAAUUUCCAGUGUUUAUUUGGUUAAAUCUUUGGACUAAAAUUUAUUAUCCAUGUCACAACUUUGUGAGGUGGGUUAUAAUUGUUUGUUCACUAAUGAGGGUGUGAUCAUCUUUAGAAGAAGCGAUGACUCCAUUGCUUUUAAUGGUGAACUCAAGGGAAAGCUUUAUCUAGUGGACUUUAUCUCGAAUAAAGCUCAACUUGAUACAUGUUUAAUGAUAAAGUCUAGCUUGAGUUGGCUUUGGCAUCACCGGCUAGUUCAUGUUGGGAUGAAUAAUCUCAACAAGCUUCUAAAGGGGGAACACAUCUUAGGACUAACAAAUAUUCUUUUUGAGAAAAAUAAAAUUUGUAGUGCAUGUCAAGCCGGCAAGCAAGUUGGUGCUCCUCAUAUUCUCACCACCACAAGACCCUUGGAAUUAUUGCAUAUGGAUAUCUUUGGUCCCGUGGCUUAUGUUAGCAUUAGGGGGGAACAAGUAUGGAUUUGUCAUUGUUGAUGAUUACUCUCGGUACACAUAGGUGUUCUUUUUGCAUGACAAAUGUGAAGUUCAAGGAAUUUUCAAGAAAUUUGCAACUAGAGCACAAAAUGAGUUUGAAGUGAAGAUCAAGAGAGUAAGAAGUGACAAUGGCACCGAGUUCAAGAACACCAACAUUGAAGAGUAUCUUGACAAGAAAGGUAUUGAUCAUGUAUUCUCCAUCCCAUACACGCCACAACAAAAUGGGAUUAUGGAGAGAAAGAAUAGAACUCUCAUUGAUGCCGCAAGAACAAUGCUUGAUUAAUACAAGACAUCGGAUCAAUUUUGGGCGGAAGUGGUCAAUACGGCAUGCCAUGCUAUCAACCAUCUAUUGUAACAACUCUACCUUAAAAGAGGUGAAAUGUCCAAGUUGAGCAAGUCAUUAGUCACUAAGUAAAAGAGGUGAAAUGUCCAAGUUGCCCCUAAAAAGCUCCUUUUGGAGUUAAAUAGAAAACAUGAGUUUUUGUAUACAAACUUAACAUUUUGCCCAAAUAAGAGUUGUAAAACUUUUAAUUUCAAACAACUUUUAUUAAUAACACUUUGGCUAAUUCAGAGUGGGAUAAGGUCAAAAACAUGAAUAAAAUCAGGAGUAUAUUAUAAACCUACUAAUGACCAGUCCUGGAAUUCAUGUUUUUCCUCAACUUUGCAACCUGUUAUCUCGCAAUUCUAUAUCUAACCUCAAGUCAGACCCUUAAUAGAAGUUGUAGUUCCUUAAGUUAAUUCAAACCUUGUUACACUGACCCAGGUCCAAAUCGUAAUCGAACCUACUUAAAAACUUGGUCAAAAUCGUGUAAAAUAGUCAACUCGGCCUUUUUGCAUUCCAGAGUUCAAGUGUGGAAAACGUCCAGAGCACGCAUCUUGGCAAGCUUGUUCCUCCAAAAAUAUGAACUGAACUCAAGAAAAGUCCUUAAUAGAAGUUGGAGUCCUAAGACCAAAGAACUUUUCCUCCAUUUAUGCUGUGGCCUGAUUCAGACGGGAAGCUACUCAAAAUCUAAGCCAAAGUUGGCCAAAAUGCUGAAAAAUAGCAAAACCGAGAUCUGCCUAAGUCCCUAGAAGCCGGCGUUCUGUCAAACUUUGCAACUCCAUAAUUUCAAAUUCAUCUCGUUUUCAAGAAAACUCCUUUUGUAAAGUUUGAAGCCGGAUGCCAGGUCUACAAGUUUUACUUUUGGAGUUUCAUGAGUUCUUUUGAAAAAUUUGGAGAAAAAGGCCCCAAAAACCGGCCCUUUUGGCUGCCCCAAGGAGCACCCCGCUCAGCGCGCGCCCGGAACAUGCCCGGCAUGUACACUUGAGCGCCACCUGCCGCGUGGCUCUCGCCCACCGGUGAGCUCGCCGACGGCCAACCGACGGCCAUGACAGGACAACUCGCUCGCCGGGACGCCCAAUGACCACGCGACCCUAUCCUCCCUCUGCCCGAGCAUCUCCCACGUCCAAUGCCACGCCACGUUUGUGCGGCUCCCCUGCGCCACGCCAUGGCCGCUCGAUGGCCGAGCUCCACCUCCCCAAUCCACCGCUCGACGGUGAUAGGACAACCCUGGCUGGCCCUAUCGCUGCACCCGACAAAGAAGAUCGUGCACCCCUCCUAUCUCCCACGCCCAAUCGCCAGAAGAUCUUCACGUGCGCCCGCACCAUUCAUCCGCCAGUGGGUGCCGCCAGCCAAUGGUAGCACCCUGUUCUCCUCCCCCGCUCACCUCCGGCCACGUCCGCCGCCAGCAUUGGCUCCGCCCUUGCCCUCCGCACCUCCCUGGCCCUAUAAAAGGAGCCGAUGCGCCGCCUGCGCAGCUCCCCACACUCGCAAAGCUCCGCCGCUCCCCUGUUCUCAGUGCCGCCGUACCACCCUCCCGUGGAGCCCCCACCUCCCCGCCACCCCGCGCCUCGCUGACACCACCACUCGCUCCGCCGCACCACCGCGCACGUCUCUGAGCGACUUGUUGCCCUCCCGGAGCUCCGCCAUCACCAGAACUUCACCGGGACCCUGCCACCGAAGCCGCUUCCGUCCCCAAGCCGUUUCUCCACCGUUGAGCCUGCUCCGCCGCCCUAACCGUCGCCAAUCGACCCUAAGUGACCUGCGCUCGUCCCCGGUCACUUGUUGCCCUGGCCCGAGCCUCACCUCGCCGGAAUCGGGUGAAGAUCGCCACUGGCCGCCACGAGGACCUAUCUAUGUCGUUUACCUUCUUCUAGGGGCUUUAGCGCAAGAACUAGGGACCCCUGCGCAAAUAAACCGUAGACACGGGGGUUAGUUUGUAAGUUGUUUUCGGUUUAUUGUUUUAAAUCAUCAGAAAAUGGGGUAAACUUUGUAAAUGCACCAUAAAUCAUAGAAAAAUCAGAAAAAUGCCAAACCACUUUUGUUGAACUCAGUGAACUGUCUAGUUUCAUACAAAAAUAAUCUUGCCCAUGUUACUAUUGGUAAUAAUACCCUAUGGUUUUAUUUCUUGCUUAGGACUUUUAAAUCAUAGUAAAUCAAAGAAAAAUGCUAAAAAGGUAAAUCCAACUCUGUGGUGUAUGUUUCAGUGAGUAGAAGCUCAGAAAAAUACUUAGGGCCCUGGAGUAGAACUUAAAAUCACUGUUUUAACAUUAUAUUUGAAAUCUAGGGUUAAAUCUUCCUUUUUGCCUAAGUUUUAAUCCAAAGUUGAGAAAAAUGUGAAACCACUUGGAGUAGCUUAGUUUUGAAGUGUAGUUUAUAGGAAAAAUAUGGAACCUGGUCAAGAACAGAAAGAAACCCACCUUCCUUUAUAGAGCAAGAUAAAUAGGAGGAAAAUAUGGGAAAUAGAUGUCCUUCUCUAAAAAUCAUGAAAAAUUCACCAAAGUCUCUAUAACACGCCUUCAACCUACUGGUAAAAUUUCACCCUCGGAAUCACUGUAGGCUUUAAGAUAAAAAUGGUUAAGAGCAUGCUACCCUUGGUGGUAAAAUACUUUUAAUUCUUCGUGGUAAUCCAAUGGAUCCCAAUUUUUUACAGUAACUCAUUGAUGGCAUGAGUAAGGCACUGUAAUUUUCUCAAUGCCUUAUGUUACUGUUUGCUUGUGGAACCAUGUUUUGGAUAAGAAAUCGGUUUAAUGGAAUAAAGAGAUAUAAGUCCUAAUACACCUAAUGGGUAAUUUUUGGAAGAGGUACAAAAAAAAAC